RNAcentral lists this long non-coding RNA (64933 nucleotides) under Phaseolus vulgaris (common bean). RNAcentral describes it as "long non-coding RNA (PVUL_LNC004768)". The stretch from base 47912 to 48050 matches the Rfam family "Small nucleolar RNA Z247". Lineage: Eukaryota; Viridiplantae; Streptophyta; Magnoliopsida; Fabales; Fabaceae. The record is from RNAcentral.
GCCCAUCAUAACUUAAUUUUAAUACAUUGAAAAUACCAUGAUGUUGGCCCUUUUUCAACUUUUGCAACUGACUUUCCCAUGCUUCUUUUGUUCUGUCACAAAGCAAUGAGCCCAAAAUCUGGAGAGCUAACGGAAUCCCUUUUGCAUAACUCAACACCUUUCCUGACAGUUCCUUGUAAGCAAUUUCUUCUGAAGAUUUUUGUUUAAAAGCAUGUAAACUAAAAAGUCUUAGAGAAUCAUCAGAAUUCAACUCCUUAACUUCGUAGAUAUCAUCAGCUCUAGCAUUCUUAAGCACUUGUCUGUCUCUACUGGUCAUAAUGAUUCUACUGCCCUGCCUAAAACUAUCACUCCAUCCUAUUAAUUUUUGAAGUUGAGCUGAAUCGGUAACAUCAUCAAGAAUGAGGAGAGCCUUUGUCCGUUUGAGCCUUUCUUUGUAAUAUGGUAAAGAAGAAGAUUUCUCUUCCUUUAGAAGCUCAGACAGAUAUUUUGUUCUGAUACUAUCUAUUCCAUCUCUUUGUAUUUUUUCUUGAACGUCUAAAACAAGGCUGCUGGAAUCAAACUGCAAUGCCAAUUUCUGAUAUAUUUGAUCACAAAUUGUACUUUUUCCUAUUCCUCCCAUGCCCCAAAUUCCUAUGAUCCGAACAUCCGGUGACUCAGGAUGCAACAAGGACUGAAUUCCUUCAAUAUGUUUUUGAAUGCCGAUGAUUCCUUGAUCAUAACUGGUGGAAUAAAGAUUCAAUUUUCCCAAAAUAUCUUCCACAAUUUUUUCAACAAGUUUGUGGUCAUUCCUGGCAGAUGAUUUAGAAAAUAAAGUAUAAGAAUUCAAGCACAAAAGCUAAACUAAACUAAAGAAAAAUUCAGAGUCAAGAGGAGUGAACAUCAUUGAAUAGAUUCACAUAUCGAUUCUAGUUUCGAGUUCUGGAUAAAAUAAAUAAAUUAAAAAGUUGAAGGUAAGUUUAGGACGUUAUCUUCCUAUAUUAGUUUGGUUGGUUUAGUAAUUGCAAAUCAAGAUCGCAGAAAUUCUACAGUAACCGUAUGUGACUUCUGAUAAUAGGGAGCAGAUUUGUAGGUACAAAGUUAAGCUAUAACAUGUGAUAUGGUUCAGAUCCAUGACCGACUAAGAGAAAUGAAAAAAGAAACACUUGAUUUAUGGUGAGAUGAACACAAUUUUAGUAAAUGAAAAGAGAUCCUGAUUAUCUAAUAAAUAUAAUGACCUGGUGACUUUUGAAUCCCAGCCUGCAAGUUCAGCAGCUUCGGUUAGAGCAUCCUUCCAUCCUUGCACUCUGUCCAUGUCGUGCUUAAGCCGCUGUUCAUGCUCAUCAAAUGCUUCUUUGAAUCUUUGUUCCUGCUUCCUAAUAGUUGAUGGAUCCACCUUGUAGAAAACAGGUAUCACAUCCCUUCCAUAUCUCUUCUUGCAUUCAAGUAUCUUAGUGAGUUCAUUCAAGCACCAAGUGGAAGAUGCAUAGUUUUGGGAGAAAACGAUGACAUAAAUCUUUGAUUCUUCUAUUGCAGAGAGUAGUGCAGGUGAAAUUUCUUCGCCCCGGGGUAGUCUCUCGUCAAUAUAUGCUUGAAUGUUCUUCCUUUGCAGUGCUGCAUGAAGGUGACGAAUGAAGUUGUCACGUGUGUCUUCCCCUCUGAAGCUGAGAAACACAUCAUGCUUUGUUAGAGAAGCAGACACGGGGAAUGAUGAAGGACUUCCUGACAUUGGAAUCAAUUUUCUCUCUUUUCUCUUGCAACUCUCAGUGCCUUUGUUUGUACACAAAUCAACUCUUGGAAAAGUCUUUGAAUUUUCUCAAAAGUAUCUUUCACAGAUCACGCACGCGUGGAAACAUAGCUGUGUUAAAAUCCUUAUUUAAGUUUUAAUUGGGCCUUGUAGUGGGCUUUGUAAUGUGCUUUUCUUUUCUCCUACAUUGCUUUAUAUAUACACCUCAGCGUUUGCUUUCUACAUUUCAUUUUACAAAAUACAUUCUCUCAUUUUCUACCUUUUAUAUUGUCUGAUUCCGUUCUCUCUUUAUUUUUUUUCAAAUCUCUUUUGCUUACAAUUUUUUUUUCUUUUUUAAGAAAUGUACUUUUUCAAGUUUAAUUUAAUUUUAUAAAACAGUCAUCUUUCUACAGUAUUAUCAUCUCUUACGUGAGAUUAUUAUAUAUUAUUUGGUGAUCUAAGUAAACUUUUAAUCCAAUAAACUUUAAAAAUAAUUCUAAUACUAUAUUAAAAAAUGAAAUUUAAAUCUAAUUCUAUUUUAUAAAAUAUAUUUAUUCAAUGCUAAAAUAUCUCUAAUUGAGUAGGGAUGUUCAAAAUACUUAUUGGUUCUUGAUUUUCACUUUCACUUUUAAGGUUUUUCUUCGCAGACACGUAGUAAACAGAAAUACAAAAAUAUGAGUCAAUGGAAGAGUCUAACGAUUCGCAGAAUAUUAUGGUGUCUAGCUUUAUACCGCAUUAAUGCGAGGAGUUUCUUUAAUAUUUUUACUCAAUUUAUUUAUUUUUAAUUCUUUUUUUUUUCACACCUUUUACAAAUAAAGAAUCGUAUUUCUUUAAUAUAUUUUAGAAAAUAACCACUAAACCUUAUUAUAAAAUAUAUUUAUGAAAUGCACGUGUAAGAAUAACAGGAAAAAUAUUACUACGAAAAACAAUAUAUUAAUAUUAAUAUGUUUCUUAAUAAAUUUCAUACCCACUGUCUAUUUAUAAAUUAAUAUAAUAUAAAUAUCUUUAAUGAUGUUUUUGUGGGUAGCUUAUUUCUCUAACGCAGAAUAUUAUGGUGUCUACUUUUAUAAAACAUUACAUUUUGAUUUUAAUAUUUAUUAAAUAUUUUUUAUUUGGGAUGAAGUAACGAUGAUGAAUCGAAUGUGUUUUGAAGUCUGACAUAACUUUUAGAGAUGUUAUGAGAACGGUUAAUGACGGAAAUUAUCAAAAACCUUUUGGGGGAAGGUUGUGGUUUUGGGAGGUGAUUUCAGGUAAAUAUUGUUAGUGGUAAAAAAAGGAUUAAGAUAUGAUGUUGUGAAGUCAACAAUCAACUUUUCUCAUUUGUGGUUAAAUUGUCGAGUCUUAAAACUUUCUCAAGGAAAUCCAACACGAUCUAUUGAUUGAGCCCACAAAAACACCUUUGUUAUCAUUGGUGAAUUUUGUUUAUCCUAAUUUAUUGACUGAUAUGUUAUGUCCUGAGUACUUUGAGUAUGGAGCAAUACUUUGUCCGACAACUGAAUCAGUAGAGCAAGUGAAUGAUUUUAUUUUAUCUCUGUUAAGUGGUAAAUAAAUAAAUUAUCUUAGUUCGGAUACACCUUGCCAAUUAGAUUAAGAUCAAGAAUUUAAAGUGAAUGGUUCACUUCUGAGUUCUUAAAUGAGAUAAAAUGUUCAGAGAUACUAAAUCAUCGCCUUCAUUUGAAAAUUGGCGUGCCUAUUAUGCUUUUGAGAAAUAUUGAUCAAACCAACGGUCUUUGUAAUGGAACAAGGUUGCAAGUUAUUGAUUUGAAGAAAAUGUUAUUUGUGCAAUAGUUCUAACAGGAACAAAUAUUGGUGAUAAAAUCUUUAUUUCAAUAAUGAAUUUGAUCCCUUUAGAUGUAGGUAUGCCAUUCAAAUUCUAGAGAAGACAAUUUCCAAUAACUUUAUGUUUUGCAAUGACAAUUAAGAAAAGUCAAAGUCAAUUAUUGACCAAAGUUGGUUUAUAUUUUUCACGUCCAAUUUUCACACAUUGAUAGUUGGAUGUAGCUAUUUAUAGAGUUAGAAAGAAAAAAAUUUAAAAAUUCUAACUCUUGAUGAAGAUGGGAAUGCAACAAACAAGAAAAAGAAAAUGUUUACACUGAAACUUUUGACAAUAUUUAAAAACAAUAGAAUUAUAUGAUAAACUUGGAAUAAUGGCUAAUUCUCCCUGCACCCAAUAUUUUUGAACAUGCAACUUUUAAAUUUGCUCCCUUGUAAUUAUAUUUUCUUAUGUGUGAUGUAGUAACAGUUGCCUUAUUUAAAAUGUUACUAAAUAACAUAUCAUUUAUAUCUGUUAUUUUUAUUCUGUUCUGAUUUUAUAUAUAUGUUAACGAAGUUGAGAAUUUUCUGAUUUUACAGGUCCAUGCACAAACCUAAUAUAAUGAUAUGAUAUUCAAUAUCAAGAGGUACUUGUCGUAAAACGGGGAAUAUGAGAGACUCCAUAGAAUGAAGAAAAAGUAUAAAGAGGAUUUACAAAUUACCCUUUCAAAUGCAGCUCCUCAGAAUUUCUUAAUGCCUUCACUGCAAAUGCAACCCAAAUAAGCUAAAGAAGUUAAUCAAACUAUACAUUAAGAGUUUCAAGAAAAUGAAACUCUGGAACAACAGAGCAACCCAUCUCAUGCUCAAUAGAAACAUCAAACUAUAUCUAACAAUAACUUAGAAAUCUUUGUCAACAAUUGAACGAACCCACUCCUAAAAUGCCAUUGAAAAUGUAAAUAAAUAAAUAAAAAUUAAAAAUGAGAAUUCAUAAUAAAAUUUCAUCGUGUUGAAACUUGUAAUUUAGAAGUAUUACGAUAAGCCAGUUUUGAUCCUCGCGAAUGAAAGACUAAUUAGCAGAAAGACUGUGCAAAAUUCCUUCCACUGGAUUCUUCGAUGUCAACUGAUUUGGUAUAAAGAGGACAUAUGCCGCAUUCUUUUAUUGUGAUAACUGAUUUCAACUCUCUCACAAGUAAUUUGCGAUUUGACCGAUUUGGCCGCAGAAAGGGAUCAUCAUAAUCAUGCGAACUGAUCUCAAAAGUGAAGCUGCGAGCAUCACACAGCCUAAGGCUCAUGCCGCUUGCCCUUAGGGACUCCAAGUUAAAUUUCCACACCAAUGUGUGAUCUUUAUCAACACCUCUCUCUUCAUCAUCCCAUCUGAAAUAGUUGUUUAACACAUCAUUAUUUGGAAUUAUCCGUGUGCCAUGAUCAUCAGAUUCAAAUUUUAGGCUGUAACCAAAGGAACCAUAUCUACCUUUAACAACUUUCGUAUCUAACACUUCAAAAACCACACACAAAGCGAAACCACUGAGCCUAUCAUCGCUUAAAAAACUUAAAUCUUCAUUUAUAGUCACUGAAUGUCCCUUCCCACGAAAAUGGAACCAACCAGGAACUGCACUCCCUGGAAAACAGAAGAACACACACCUAUAUCUAUCGUCGGUCAUCCUAAGCCUUGCAUCCUCCUCAAUGUUAGCACGACCACCUGAAUCCAGUUGUUGAGCAUUGGUCAAAAGAAAUUUGAAGAAACCCUCUUUGGAAUUUGACAAGUUUGGAACAAGAGAAUUGGACAUCACUCUUCUAAUGGAUGGGCAAUCCAAUGCCACUAGUUUUUUUAGAAAUGGUGGAAUCUCUGGGAUGCAUUCAAGCUUUUUGCAGUCGCUUAAAUCAAGCGAUUUCAAGCUUGAAAGAUGAGCAACGCUCUCAGGAAGGUUCACAAUUCCGCUAUCACACAGUGACAGUUCCAUUAAUGACGUCAAGCGACCGAUAUCUCUAGGGAUUUCUGUUAAUCUGGCACACCCCGAACAAUCAAGUUUAGAGAGAAGCUUGAGAUUAACAAUGGAGUUUGGAAGUGACUCCAGAUCAGUGCAUUUGCGGAGCUCCAGGGAUCGAAGAUUAACCAAAUUGGCAAAUGAGGAAGGCAGUUCUUUAACAGCCGUACAUAUCAAGUUAAUGUGAUCAAAAGUAGGAGCCGGCUCUGUGAUCUCUGGGAAGGUCCUCAGACUUGAGCAACCACACAAAUCAAGGUUCCUCAACUUCAAAUUGAAAAUGGUGCUUGGAAAAGUUUGUAGUGAACUACAGUGGGUAAGGUCUAACUUGCAUAGUCUGGUGAGGCUUCCAAUGGAAGAUGGAAUAAUCUCAAGAUUGAAGCAACUGCACAAACUCAGUUGUUGAAGCCCUACCAAACGGCACAAGGAUGAAGGUAGUGCCUGUAUGGCUGUGUCGUCUAAGAUGAGCACCACUAGAUCUUCCAACGUGUCCUGAAUCUGGGGUAAAUUUUCCAAUUUUGAGCAACCACGGAGUGAAAGUUGCUUUAGGAACUUCAUAUCAGAAAGGUCAAAUGGAAAGAUUGUAAGGGAAGAACAGUGAGAGAGAUCUAAGUGACAGAGCCUCUUGAGAUUUUGAAAGUUUGAGGGUACACCUUCGAGUAUUGUCGACACUUCACAUUGUGAGUAUAUAGUAUUAUUACCCACUUCUUCUUCGUUAUAUCUGUCAAAACUAAUUGAGGAAAUUUCACUGGAAGUUGGGAAAAUACCUUUAGCAUUAUGGAAUUUAACAGUCCCUCCCAAAAGUAAACUUGAGAAAGUUGGACGUUGACCCUCCAGUUUCACAUGAAGGUAUCUGGGUUGACUGGUUGAAAACAUUUCAAGCUCCUCACAGUGAGAAAGAAUGAUCAAUCCUGGAGAUGUGGAUAAAAUCUUGUUGGGAAUAUUUACACUUUUGAGAUGAUAACAAUGAUCUAAACAUAAACAACUGAGCUUGCUGAGGAAUAUCGAAGAGUGAACUUUAAUCAACUUUUGACAAUAACUCAGAAUUAGUUCUUCAAUAUUCGGUGACAGAGAAAGGUCUGGUAUUCUAGUAAGUUUCAGAGAAUGACUCAGGUUGAGCCUUUUCAAGUUGGGUAAAUUCUGCCACAAAAAGUAAAUGAAUCAGGUAACAAUGAAAAACUAAAAUAAAGUUUUAUGCAAUUUUAUCUAUUUUUCUUCGGUAAACUAUGAGCUACAUCAUCUAUCGAGUUUAUAUUUUACAUAAAACCACUGUUAAAAAAAUCACACUGUUAACUAACAAAAUUAUGGUCACUAUAAAUUUUAUAGUUAUUAUAAAAAUUCACAAAAUUUAACGUGUUUUUGUUCUCUACCUAAAAUUACAUCCUAAUAAUUUGAACCUAAGCUUAUUAUGUAUUGAAAAACUUACUAUAGUAAUUUAUAAUCCAUGACAAUGUCGAAAUACUUUAUACUAUGCAUGUUAAAAUUUGAUAAAAUGUCGAAAUACUGACAAAAUAAAAAUGGUGUUUUCCGAGAGUUAAAAUUAAACUUUAGUUAAAAUAAGUCCAUCUUUACAUAUUUUAUAAUUUGUUGUAUAUUAUAUUGAAGUUGAUGUUAUAAUAAAAAAAUGACUUAAUUAAUCGAAAAAUGUGGAGAAAACACAAAGAAAUUGCAAAUGCUUGUAUAAUUUAUUUUUAUCUUUGAAAGUUUAAAAGACAAAGGAACAUAGAUAACUUGAAAAACCUGAUCUCCUUCCCAGAGUUGUUCAAGACGGCAGCCUGGCAUUUCGAGGAUCACUAGAUUUUGUGGGCAAAAGUUUGGAGGCCAAAAUCUUUGCGGGAAAUCUCUCCAAUAAAGAAACUUUAGAGUGUCUGGCAGACCUACGAGAGAUGAUUCAAGAGACACAUUUGAUAUGUAUUCAGUUGAGUAGAGUAAAAACGUCCAAAGAUCAUCCAACUCUUUACGAGACACAUCUGAUAUGUAUUUAGUUUUAUUUUGCUCGUAUCUAGUAAUAUACACUGUAUUGCAUCUGACCCCUGAAAGUAAAUCAAUGUAAUUAGAAGAAAAAAACAUGAAAUGUUGCAUUGCAGGAUGUUUGAUGACAGCUCAGUGGUUUGCAAUUUUUCACAAAGUAAAUUAAUGACAGGUCAGUAGUUAUAUACCUUAUUCUUUCUUAAAACCUCACAAAUUUCCUCAGCAUUAAACAAUCGGCUGCGUUUUCCAGGAUGCUGAGGACACUCUUUACGAACAAUUUCUUUACCCAUUUCUUCUAUUAGAUCGUGCAUCACAAUUCUACCAUCAAUGACAGAUAUUAGGCCCCUAUCUUUCAGAAUAUCCAUUCCAAUCUUAGAAGAGAAACCAAAGUCAUCAAGUCUUUCUGCUACCUCAAUCUCCUCGUGACCUCUAUAAAAGCAAGCUAUGUCAAGAAAUAUAUUCUUCUCCUCCUCCUCCAGCCCAUCAUAACUUAAUUUUAAUACAUUGAAAAUACCAAGAUGUUGGCCCUUUUUCAACUUUUGCAACUCACUCUCCCAUGCUUCUCUUGUUCUGCCAUAAAGCAAUGACCCCAAAAUCUGGAGAGCUAACGGAAUCCCUUUUGCAUAUCUCAACACCUUUUCUGACAGGUCCAUGUAAGAUUUUUCUGCUGAAGAUUUUUGUUUAAAAGCAUGUAAACUAAAAAGUUUAUGAGAAUCAUCAAAAUUCAACUCCUUAACCUCGUAGAUAUCAUCAGCUCCAGCAUUUCUAAGCACUUGUCUGUCUCUACUGGUCAUAAUGAUUCUACUGCCCUGCCCAAAACUACCACUCCCUCCUAUUAAUUUUUUAAGUAUAGCUGAAUCGGUAACAUCAUCAAGAAUGAGGAUAGCCUUUGUCCGUUUGAGCCUUUCAUUGUAAUAUGAUAAAUCAGGGGAUUUCUUUAUCUCUUCCUUUAGAAGCACAGACAGAUAUUUUCUUCUGAUACUGUCUAUUCCAUCUCUUUGUAUUUUUUCUUGAACGUCUAAAACAAGGCUGCUGGAAUCAAACUGCACUGCCAAUUUCUGAUAUAUUUGAUUACAAAUUGUAGUUUUUCCUAUUCCUCCCAUGCCACAAAUUCCUAUGAUCCGAACAUCCGUUGACUCAAGAUGCAACAAGGACUGAAUUCCUUCAAUAUUUUUUUCAAUGCCGAUGAUUCCUUGAUCAUAACUGGUGGAAUAACGAUUCAAUUUUCUCAAAAUAUCUUCCACAAUUUCUUCAACAAGUGCGUGUUCUGGCCUGGCAGAUGAUUUAGAAAAUAAAGUAUAAGUAUUCAAGCACAAAAGCUAAAGUAAACUAAAGAAAAAUUUUACAGUAACCGUUUGUGACUUCUGAUACUAGGGAGCAGACUUGUAGGUACAAAGUUAAACUAUAAGAUCAGAUAUGGUUCAGAUCCAUGACCGACUAAGAGAAAUGAAAAAAGAAACACUUGAUUUAUGGUGAGAUGAACACAAUUUUAGUAAAUGAAAAGAGAUCCUGAUUAUCUAACAAAUAUAAUGACCUGGUGACUUUUGAAUCCCAGCCUGCAAGUUUAGCAGCUUCAGUUAGAGCAUCCUUCCAUCCUUGCACUUUAUCGUGCUUAAGGUGCUGCUCAUGCUUUUCGAAUGCUUCAUUGUAUCUUUGUUCCUGCUUCCUAAUAGUUGAUGGAUCCACCUUGUAGAAAACAGGUAUGACAUCCCUUCCAAAUCUCUUCUUGCAUUCAAGUAUCUUAGUGAGUUCAUUCAAGCACCAAGUGGAAGAUGCAUAGUCUUGGGAGAAAACGAUGACAUAAAUCUUUGAUUCUUCUAUUGCAGAGAGGAGAGCAGGUGAAAUUUCUUCGCCCCUGUUUAAUCUGUAAUCAAUAUACGCUUCAAUGUUCUUCCUCUGCAGCGCUGCAUAAAGGUGACUAAUGAAGUUGUCACGUGUGUCUUCCCCUCUGAAGCUGAGAAACACAUCAUGCUUUGUUAGAGAAGUAGACACGGGGAAUGAUGAAGAACUUCCUGACAUUGGAAUCAAUUUUCUCUCCUUUCUCUGCAAAUCUCAGAUUCCUUUGUUUGUACCAUUUCUACCUGAAGAAGUGUUUAAAUUUUCUCAAAAUACCUUGCACAGCGUGUUCUGGUCAGACAUAAAGAAAAAGACAAAUAUUAAGUUAAUAGAAUAGUCAACAAUUUAAAAAAUAAGUAUGAAAUAUAGAUAUAUAUCAUUAUCACGUGUGGAAGCUACGUCGUCUUGUAUUGGAUUUUCUAAUCUGCCUUUUAUCUUGUCUCAUUCUUCUUUAUCUUUUUUCUCUCAUCUCUCUUGCUUACGAUUUCUUUGCCUUUAUUCAGAAAUUUUAUUUAUAAUAAACCUUCAAUAAUAUUUGUACUUUCUAGCAUAUAGAAUACUUAAUGGAUCCUUUUCUGAUUUUUCUUUUCUAAAGUGCAAUUGAUAUUUUAAAUGUUUUUCUAUUUAAUUUUCCUUUCUUAAUGACACAUAAAAUGGUUCAGUGCACAAUUAAUUACUCUCACCUUAGAUUUCAUUCAUCUCAUUCCAUUUCCACACUCAAAUCAUUCUCACAUUUGUUUCUACCUGUUUCACAAAGUUUUAGUUAAAAUAUGGAAAUUAAUGUUCAAGAACCCUACUUAAUAUUAAUAUUCAACAAUUUAAAAUAUUAAAAUGCAAAUUAAUCUUUCUUAAUAAUGUCAUUUUUAUGUAAAAAAUAAAAUGUAGUUUAGUCAUUUAUACUUAGAUGGAUAAAGAUGGUUUUAGAAAAAAAAAUGCAUUUUAUUUCAAAGGUUAUCUAAGCUCUGAACUCAUUUAUGAAUUAAUAAUAAUAAAUAAUAUGUAAUUGUAUUCCAAUACCAUAUAAUUUUUUUUAUUGGGUGCGUUUCUGAUGAAUUAAUUAAUGCACUCUAGGGACAAUGAUCGCUCUAGUAUUUGAUUUUUUUAUUUAUUUUAAUGUUGAAAUUAUAGCUAUUUAGUACAGAUACUAUUGACACCGACACAGAUACGACACAGACACAGAGAUACUUAAAAUCUCUAAAAUGUAAGAUACAGAGACAUUAAUCUAUAUAUUAUAUAAUUAUGAAUUAUAUAAAUUAACAAUAAAGACUUAUGUGCACAAGUAUUUUGGAGAUUAUUUUUUAAGCAGAAAUAUGUUUUUCAUGACUGUUUCACAAAGAUUUGUUUCUUAUUUUUAUAAUCAUAAUAACAAUUUAUACCAUAAAGUUUGAAUUUUAGAAAAUUAAUGUAUUUUUUCUUUUUAAAAUUCCGUUAGAAUCGUACUAAAAUUGUAAAAAAUCUAACAAAUACAUUUUGAAUUGGACAUUUCACAAAUACAUGUCCUACCAGUAUCAUACGAAUGUAAACAAAAUUCUUUCUUCAUAUGCCGCAUUCUUUUACUGUGAUAACUCAUUUCAACUCUCUCACAACUGAUUCGUAAUCUGUGGGAUGCAUUAAAGCCUUUUGCAGUUAAAUCAAUAGUAUAUGAUGAUGUGAAUGUUAUUUAUAUACUAAAUAUAAUCACAUAGUAACUUCAAAUUUGAUAAGGUACAACAUGUUACCAUAUCUCUUUUAAUUUCUUUUAUUUCAUUAUAUAUUUAGGUGUAUUUAAUUUCUUUUUAUUUCAUUGUGUAUUUAGGUGUAUUACGUAAAAUAUAUAAUUAAAAAGAAAGAAGAAUAAUGUUAUUUUUAAAUUUAAAGAAUGACAUAUAGAAAUAAACAAGCUAUUUUGAAAUUUUUAGAUUUUACAAAACAUUACAUUUUGAUUUUAAUAUUUAUAAAAUAUUUUUUAAUUUCAUAUUUAAAACACAACACUUAGUUGAGUGUGUUCCUUAGUUACUUACCAAAUAACAACAUACAUCUUAUCGGGUCUUUUUGCGACCCGACCCAAACUCAUCUCGAUCCUAGUAGGGUUCGCAUCAUCUUCAAUUGAGGAGUAGAUUUGUCAGGAGGAAAAUAAAUUGAUUUAUAAGAACAUGUGAAGUUGUUUAGAUUGAGGAAUAAUAGAUGGAUUUUGAUUAUGAUUUAUGGUAAGUUUAAAAAAAAUAGAUUUGUUUCUUUUAACAUUUUUUGUAUUAUAAUUAUUUGCUGGCUGAAUUGUUUUGAGUUAACAUGUUUUCUUGGGGUAUGAUAUUGUGAGGUUUUAUUACAUGCAGGUACGUGAAUAUUUUUUUUAUUCUAGUUGUAUAAAUCAGGAAAAAAUGUUUUUCACAAUAUAAUUAUAAUAACCGUUUAACAACCUAAAUAAUAAUAAAAUAUUAACUCAUAUUAUUUAAUUAAAUUAUUAAAUAAAAAGUAGUAAAACUGAUUGUAGGAUGGGAAUAUGAUUAUUUUUAACUGCUAGCUCCUCAUUAUUCUUUUAUAAUAAAAAACACACUAGUAGGUGUUGAAAAUCGUAAUAUAACAAACAAGUUUUGACACACGUAGGUUUGGCAAUUGUUUUAAUAGCUGAAAAUAGUAAAACAAUUUUUAAUUACCACAAACUGCAUCUUAAAUCAUAAAAAAUAGCAUUUUUUAGUUCAUAUAUAAUAACAUUUCCAUAAAUAAAUCUCCCGCCGCCAUUGAUAUUAAUCAUUAAUAAUUUUAGAUAAUAUUUUUUACUAUAAAACAUUUAAUUGAGAUUGAAUUUUUAAUUCACACUUUUUGGUCAAAGAAUAAUAUAUUUCAUUUUUUUAUUUAUUAAAUAUUUUGUAUAAUGCUGAGAAAAAAAAAUCUCACACACACACACACAUAUAUAUAUAUAUGAUCCCUAUGUCCUACAAGUACAAUAUAACAUCGUUAGUAUAAUGAAUAAAAAUAAUGAGUAUUCAAAGUCGUGUAUUUACGUAAAAGAAUAACAUGAUUUUUAAAAGAACUCACAUUAUCAGUUUAAAUUUUGACGAUAAAAUACAUUAAUUAUAUAUAUUUAUUCAAAAUUUCAAUUAUAUUAUGCAUUAAUGGUUUUAUGCUUUUAGAGGAAUCAGAGAAACUUAGAAAAGCUUAAUGAAACCCUAUGAAUAAAGGAGAUGUAAAAGAAAGAGAAAAAGGAAGUGAGAAAAGAUGAUAAUUAAUAAACACCCACUCUUCAUAACAUAGAGUCUUUAAACCUAUAUUCCCUCAAACAGCAUUUAUAAGUUAUUAUCACCCACAUGGAAUAAGGUGCCUCAAUGUGAACAAACCAAGAUCAGUAAGAAAUAUGAGGUUCAAAUAACGAAGCUGAGAAUUUUCUGGUUUUACAGCUCCAUGCACAAACCUAAUACAAUGAUAUGAUAUUCCAUAGGAUGGAGAAAAGUAUGAUAUGAAGAGGAUUUACCAAUUACCCUUUCGAAUGCAGCUCCUCAGGAUUCCAUCAUGCCUUCACUGCACAUGCAACCCAAAUAUGCUAAAGAAGUUAAUCAAACCCAAAUAUAAAGAAUUUCUAGAGAAUGCAACUCUGGGACAACAGAGUACCCCAUCUCAAGCUGAACAGAAACAUUAAACUAUAUCUAACAAUAACUUAGAAAUCUUUGUCAACAAUGAACGAAUCCAACCGUAAAAUGCCAUUGAAAAUGUAAAUAAAACAAAAUAAAUUAGAUAUGAGAAAUUCAUGAUAAAAUUUCAACACUUGUAAUGUAGAAGCAUUACGAUAAGCCAGUUUUGAUCCUCACCAAUGAAAGUCUAAUUAGCAGAAGAGGAAGAGACUAGUUGACUGGGUAGCUUUCUGCAAUGCCUAUUUUAAGGUUACGCUUCCGGCAAAAAUAUAAUAGAAGACUGCUCUCAUGUCAAAGUUUCUCAUACAUAGAACAACCCGCAAAAGAGAUUAAACAUUCCAAAAGAUGUCUCAACAGAAAUGAAAUGAGAUCCUAACAACUUGUUGGGAAAGUACUAUUUUGCCUUCAAUUCCAUUACUUCCUUUUGCCUUUAAGAGUGCAGUCAUAAUCAUCAAAAUACUUAGACUUUGUGAUAUGUCUUUUGGGCUUGCUAUUCAUCUUUUGUUGCCUCCUCUUGAGCCAUAACACUUUUGGCCUUCCUCUUCCUAUAUUCCCUUGUGUCUCUUGAAGACUGUGCAACAUUACUUCGACUGGAUUAUUCAAUGUGAACAGCACCACCAUAUUCAUCAUCUUUCUUUUUGGAAUAAAGAGGGCAUAUGCCGCAUUCUUUUACUCUGAUAUCGGGCCACCAAUGGCUGAUCUCAAAAGUGAAGCUGCGAGCAUCACAGAGCCUAAGGCUCAUGCCGCUUGCCCUUAGGGACUCCAAGUUAAAUUUCCACACAAAUGUGUGAUCUUUAUCAAGAAAUCUGCCUGCAUCCGUCAAGUUUAACACAUCAUUAUUUGGAAUGAUCUGUGUGCCAUCAUCAUCAGAUUCAAAUUUUAGGCUGUAACCAAAAGAACUAUAUCUACCUUUAAUAUCAUUCGUAUCUAACACUUCAAAAACCACGCACAAAGAGAAACCAGUGAGCCUAUUAUCGCUGCAAAAACUUAAAUCUUCAUUUAUAGUCACUGAAUGUCCCUUCCCACGAAAAUGGAACCAACCAGGAACUGCACUCCCUGGAUAACAGAAGAACACAGACCUAUAUGCAUCGUCGGUCAUCCUAAGCCUUGCAUCCUUCUCAAUGUUAGCACGACCACCUGAAUCCAGUUGUUGAGCAUUGGUGAAAUGAAAUUUGAAUACACCCUCUUUGGAAUUUGAGAGGUUCCGAACAAGAGAAUUUGACAUCACUUUUCUAAUGGAUGGGCAAUCCAAUGCCACGAGUUGUUUUAGAAAUGGUGGAAUCGGUGGGAUGCAUUCAAGCUUUUUGCAGUCGCUUAAAUCAAGCGAUUUCAAGCUCGAAAGAUGAGCAAUGCUCUCAGGAAGGUUCACGAUUCCGCUAUCACGCAGUGACAGUUCCAUUAAUGACGUCAAACGACCAAUGUGCCUUGGGAUUUCUGUUAAUUUGGCACACCCCGAACAAUCAAGUUUAGAGAGAAGCUUCAGAUUAACAAUGCAGUUUGGAAGUGACUCGAGAUCAGUGCAUUUGCGGAGCUCCAGGGAACGAAGAUUAACGAAAUUGGCAAAUGAGGAAGGCAGUUCUUUAACAGUCGUAGAUGUUAAGUUAAUGUGAGCAAAAGUAUGAGCCGACUCCGUGAUCUCUGGGAAGGUCCUCAGCCUUGAGCAACCACGCAAAUCAAGGUUCCUCAACUUCAAAUUGAAAAUGGUGCUUGGAAAAGUUUGAAGUGAAUUACAGUGGGCAAGGUCUAACUUGCAUAGUCUGGUGAGGCUUCCAAUGGAAGAUGGAAUAAUCUCAAGAUUGAAGCAACUGUGCAAACUCAGUUGUUGAAGCCCUACCAAACGGCACAAGGAUGAAGGUAGUGCCUGUAUGGCUGUGUCGUCUAAGAUGAGCACCGCUAGAUCUUCCAACGUGUCCUGAAUCUCGGGUAAAUUUUCCAGUUUUGAGCAACCACUGAGACAAAGUUGCUUUAGGAAUUUCAUAUCAGAAAGGUCAAACGGAAAGAUUGUAAGGGAAGAACAGUCAGAGAGAUCUAAGUAACAGAGGUUCUUGAGACUUUGAAAGUUUAAGGGCACACCUUCCAAGAGACUGUUGAACACCUCUGAGUCUUCUGAGUCUGUAGCAUUAUUAGCCACUUCUAUAUUAUAUCUGUCAAAAGUAAUUGACAAAAUUUCACUGCUUGGGGAAAUUUCACUGGAAGUUGGGAAAUUUAUCUCUUUCGUCAUAUCCAGUUCCUGACGCUCCAGUAUGACAUGAGGGAGAAAUUUAUCUUCAUGUUUACUGAUUGAAAACAUAUUAAGCUUCCGACAAUGGGAAAGAGUAAUCCAUCCUGGUGAUGUGGAUAAAAUGUUGCUCGGAAUAUUUACACUAUUCAGAUCAUCACAAUGAUCUAAACAUAAACAACUGAGUUUGCUGAGGAAUAUCGAAGAGUGAAUUUCAAUCAACUUUUUACAAUAACUCAGAAUUAUUUUUUCAAUAUUUGGUGACAUAGAAAGGUCUGGUAUUCUAGCAAGUUUCCAAGAACGUGUCAGGUCGAGCCUUUUCAAGUUGGGUAAAUUCUGCCACAAAAAGUAAAUGAAUCAGGUAACAAAUAAUAACUACUUUAUCUAUUUUUCUUCCUAUUUAAACUAUUAGCUACUACUAUUGAGUUUAUAUUUUACAUUACUUAAAAACCACUGUUAAAAAAGCCACACUGUGGACUAACAAAAUUAUAUUUUAAAAUAUUAUUAAAGAUAAAAUAUGAAGAUAGGGUAAUUAAAUUAAAUAUAAUUUUUAUUUUUCAGAAAUGAUGAAAAUUAUAAUUAAAUUAACUAAAUUAUAUAAAAUUCCAUUUUAUUUACAUAACUCCUUUUCAUAUUAAAAAACUAUAUAAGAUCUUGAAACUAUAAUUAAUAUCUUAAAAAUUUAAAUAAUAAUAAUUAUUUCUACUCAUCCUUAAUUUUUGUUGGUGAAAUCUUGAUUUUUGGGAUAAUAUCACUUAAACUUAAGAAAUAUUUGACAUUAAUGAACUCUAAACAAAUUUAUAUAAGAAAUCAAGACAUCACUUUCAAUCCGAAAUCUUAAACUAAUAGGUUUAUGGAUUUUCUUUAUAUGUUGUUCAUCUUACCAAUUUGAACCCAAUGCGAGACUUUCAACUCUAAGAGAUGAAGUGGUGUACUUUAUGCUUCUAGGACUUGUUAGAUAUUGAAACAUGUACCAUUGCUAAAAUGUUUGAAUGAAGGAGAAGUCAAAGUCUCUCUCCUUUAGAGAUAUUCGCUCAAGUGGCAAGAGGUUGAUUAAGCAAGAGAGAGAUCGUAUUAAUUCUCUCUUCUAUGCAAUUGUUGUCGUUCAAACAAUGUGGAAUCAUUCAAGCAAAGAAAUCUUCUUUUGGGUUAGGAAACAAGGUUUUUCAAGCGAGAUAAACUCGUCUAAAGAAUUUAACUCUAGUAGUGAAAUGUUGUUGCCAUGAUUUAGCCAAGUGUUUGUAUCUAUGAGGCUAAUGAUGAUGAUGACGAUGAUAAGAUGCAUGAAUGUGUAUACACAAGUGUAUGAUAUACCUCAUGUUAUAUAUUGUAUGUGAUUCAAUUGAUGACCAUUUAUUUUUAGGCCAUUUAUAUGUAUAUUUUGGCCCUUUUAUGAGUAUGUGACGAGAUAUACCUAAGAUUGUAUUAUGAUCCUAAUGAGUCGAAGUAUCAAACACAAAACUCAUUAUGGAAAAAAAAAGAUAUUUUGUGCAUCAGUUAUGAUAUGAUCACAACAAUUAAAGCAUGUGUGAACGGUUAAUAUUGUUCUUAAUAAGAAAACAAAUAAUAUUGUAUGUGACAUUAGAGAUGUCAAAUAGGUUUAGAAAAUUAUUAAGUUUAAUUAUCUUUUUAGUCUUUAUAUUAAUGACCAAAAGUCAAUUCAGAUUUUUAGAAAGUUCAAUAUGAUUUAAUUUUUUAAAAAACAAUUCAAUGUGAUUCCUUCUAGUAUAUUUCCCUUAUUAAAAUAUUUUUAUCUUAAUGAUUCUGCCACUGUUAAGUUAUAUGUGUUGUUAUCACAUUGAAUUGUUUUAAAAAAAUUUGGAACCACCACAUUAAAUUGUUUUAAAAAGUUAGUACUAAAUUGAACUUUUGAAAAUUGGGAGAAUGAAAUUAAAUUUUGUCUAUUAAUACAGGGACAAAAAAUAAUUGAAUCAAAUAUUUUACUAUUUUUGUGAUGUAUAUUUAUAUAUAAAUAAUUUUGAGAAUUUAGAGUUACAAUGUGUUAUAUCAUAUAUAUAUAAUUCUUUUUGGUAAUGUAUCCUGUAGUUGUAAGCAAGUAUGAUUAUAUUAAGUGGGGCGUUUCAAAUAGUGGAGACUACGCAUAUACAAAUAUCUCUUAUAAAGUAAGAAAACAAAACAAUCGUUACUCAAGAAGAUCAUGCAAUGCAUCACAGACAACAUGGGAGAUAUAUAUCAACAAUAAUAUGAGUAAAUAAUACAUUCAUGGGCCAUUAGACGAUAUGCCUAAAAAAAAUAUGCAAACUAUUAAAUUUAUAAUUAUUUUUAAUUAGAAACAUGCUGAGUAUGACUCUUAUGAUAUAUGUAUAACUGUGUGCUUCAAAUAAAAGAAAUUUCAAAUCGAAUAAUGUGGAGAAGGCACAAAGGAAUUGCAAAUGAAAACCUGUAGAUGUAUAAUACACAAAACAUGCUUGUCUAAUUUAUUUUUAUCUUUGAAAGUUUAGAACACAAAGGAACAUAGAUAACUUGAAAAACCUGAUCUCCUUCCCAGAGUUGUUCAAGAUCGCAGUAUGGCAUUUCGAGGAUCACUAGAUUUUGUGGGCAAAAGUUUGGAGGCCAGAAUCUUUGAAGGAAACCGUUCCAAUAAAGAAACUUUAGAGUGUCCGGCAGACCUACAAGAGAUGAUUCAAGAGACACUUUUGAAUUCAAUCUAGGCAUGUAGACCAUAAGCAUCAUAAGAUUGUCCAUCUUUUCGAAACUUUGUGCAUGUACUACAGCAUCUUUUACUUUGUUCGUAUGAUAUUGAUAUACACUGUAUUGCAUCUGACCCCUGAAAGUAAAUCAAUGUAAUUAGAAAAAAAAACAUGAAAUGUUGCAUUUCAGGAUGCUUAAUGACAGCUCAGUAGUUUUCUAUUUUUCACAAAGUAACAACAGCAUAUACCUUGUUCUUUCUUAAAACCUCACAAAUUUCCUCAUCAUUAAACAAUCGGCUGCGUUUUCCAGGAUGCUGAGGACACUCUUUACGAACAAUUUCUUUACCCAUUUCUUGUAUUAGAUCGUGCAUCACAAUUCUACCAUCAAAGACAGAGAUUAGACCCCUAUCUUUGAGAAUAUCCAUUCCAAUCUUAGAAGAGAAACCACAGUCAUCAAGUGUUUCUGCUACCACAGUCUCCUCUUGCCCUCUAUAAAAGCAAGCUAUGUCAAGAAAUAUAUUCUUCUCCUCCUCCUUGAGCCCAUAAUAACUUAAUUUUAAUACGUCGAAAGUUCCAAGAUCUUGGCCGUUUUCCAACUUUUGCAACUGACUCUCCCAUGCUUCUCUUGUUCUGCCAUAAAGCAAUGACCCCAAAAUCUGGAGAGCUAACGGAAUUCCUUUUGCAUAUCUCAACACCUUUACUGACAGGUCCAUGUAAGCAAUUCCUUCUGAAGAUUUUUGUUUAAAAGCAUGUAAACUAAAAAGUUUCAGAGAAUCAUAAAAAUUCAACUCCUUAACUUCGUAGAUAUCAUCAGCUCCAGCAUUCUUAAGCACUUGUCUGUCUCUACUGGUCAUAAUGAUUCUACUGCCCUGCCCAAAACUAUCACUCCCACCUAUUAAUUUUUGAAGUUGAGUUGAAUCGGUAACAUCAUCAAGAAUGAGGAGAACCUUUGUCCGUUUGAGCCUUUCAUUGUAAUAUGGUAAAUAAGAGGAUUUCUCUUCCUUUAGAAGCUCAGACUGAUAUUUUGUUCUGAUACCGUCUAUUCCAUCUCUUUGUAUUUUUUCUUGAACGUCUAAAACAAGGCUGCUGGAAUCAAACUGCAAUGCCAAUUUCUGAUAUAUUUGAUCACAAAUUGUAGUUUUUCCUAUUCCUCCCAUGCCACAAAUUCCUAUGAUCCGAACAUCCGUUGACUCAAGAUGCAACAAGGACUGAAUUCCUUCAAUAUUUUUUUCAAUGCCGAUGAUUCCUUGAUCAUAACUGGCGGAAUAACGAUUCAAUUUUCUCAAAAUAUCUUCCACAAUUUCUUCAACAAGUGCGUGUUCUGGCCUGGCAGAUGAUUUAGAAAAUAAAGUAUAAGUAUUCAAGCACAAAAGCUAAAGUAAACUAAAGAAAAAUUUUACAGUAACCGUUUGUGACUUCUGAUACUAGGGAGCAUACUUGUAGGUACAAAGUUAAGCUAUUGUGUGAUAUGGUUCAGAUCUAUGACCGACUAAUAGAAAUGAAAAAAGAAGCACUUGAUUUAUGGUGAGAUGAACACAAUUUUAGUAAAUGAAAAGAGAUCCUGAUUAUCUAAUAAAUAUAAUGACCUGGUGACUUUUGAAUCCCAGCCUGCAAGUCCAGCAGCUUCGGUGAGAGCAUCCUUCCAUCCUUGCACUGUGUCGUGCUUAAAGUGCUGCUCAUGCUCAUUGAAUGCUUCUUUGUAUCUUUCUUCCUGCUUCCUAAUAGUUGAUGGAUCCACCUUGUAGAAAACAGGUAUCACAUCCCUUCCAUAUCUCUUCUUGCAAUCAAGUAUCUUAGUGAGUUCAUCCAAGCACCAUGUGGAAGAUGCAUAGUUUUUGGAGAAAACGAUGACAUAAAUCUUUGAUUCUUCUAUUGCAGAGAGGAGUACAGGUGAAAUUUCUUGGCCCCUGAGUAAUCUGUAAUCAAUAUAUGCUUGAAUGUUCUUCCUUUGCAGCGCUGCAUAAAGGUGACUAAUGAAGUUGUCACGUGUGUCUUCCCCUCUGAAGCUGAGAAACACAUCAUGCUUUGUUAAAGAAGCAGACAUGGCCAAUGAUGAAGGGUUUCAAUGUUCUCUGCAACUCUCAGAUCCCUUUGUUUGUAAGCAACUUCCAUAUAUUCUAUUAGGAAGGAAAAUAUAUAUUUCUACCAUUCCUACCACAAAUUGAAAAAGCCUUUCAAUUUUCUCAAAAUAUCUUUCACAGCUGUGUUCUGUCAGAUACGAAACAUUGAGUCAAUGGAAGAGUCAACAAUUGGCAGAAUAUUAUGGUGUGUAGCUUUAUACCAUUCUUACAAUAUUUGAUUGGUUGAAUAUAUACAAUAUGACUAAUGAACUUUUUUCUUUUCCGUAUUCCACGAUAAUUCCCUAGGCACCCUAUUAUACACUUUCUUAUCAACGGAAACCAUGUCUGUCCUUUUAUAGUUUUAAUCCUAUAAUAUCUUUCCAUUAAUCAUCAUUAUCACUCUUCAACCUUCAUAUCAAGUGUAUUGAUUUCAUACUUCAUCAGCUAGACAUAAUAAAAUCUCAAUAAUCUUUUAUACUGUCAACAUUUAUAAAAAAUAUUUCCUUCAAUAAUAUUUGUACUUUCUAGCAUAUAGAAUACUUAAUGGAUUCUUCUGUGAUUUUUCUUUCCUAAAGUACAAUUGAUAUUUUAACAGAUGCCGAAAGGUCUUGAAUAUGAGGCUGUUUCGAAAUGAAAAUUGGGGUAAAGCAUUUUCAAGUUAACAAGUUUUGUUGGGUGAGUGAGUGAUCAGUGCUAGCAUUUUCAAUCUCAGUUAUAGAAUGUAAAGAUUUACACAUUUAUUUGCUGAUUAAUAAUUUAUUUAUUGAAUUAAAUGUUUUAACAGUGAGUAUGGAUUCUUGAAUGAAUGUAAUCAUGGUGUAGAAUGUACAUAGUACAUAUAGUGAGUUGGAUUGAAAUGUUGAACACGUUUUCCUCUGCAAAGAUUCAGGAUAUUUAUGAACUUGCUAUAAAUUGUUUUAACUUUUCUCUGCAACUCUCAGUCCCUUUGUUUCUACCAUUUUGUUUUUGAAAAGCCUUUCAAUUUUCUCAAAAUAUCUUUCACUGCUGUGUUCUGUCAGAUACGAAACAUUGAGUCAAUGGAAGAGUCAACAAUUCGUAGAAUAUUAUAUUAUGGUGUCAAUAUUUAAUAAAUUUAUUUAUUUCUUUAACAUAUUUUAGAAAAUAACCAGUAAACAUAAAACUUUUAGUAUGACUAAAAGAAUAAAGAUAGUGUAAGAAUAACAGGAAUAACAUUACUACAAAUAACAAUAUAUUAAUAUUAAUAUGUUUCUUAAUAAAUUUUACACCCACUGUCUAUUUAUAAAUUAAUAUAUUAUAAACAUCUAUUGAUUUUUUGUGGGUAGCUUAUUUCUGUAACAUUUUAAAUUAAUUUUUUAGAUUUUACAAAACAUUACAUUUUGAUUAUAAUAUUUAGGACUGUGAUGCAAUUUCUGCAAUGAAGGCUGGCAGACUAAGUUUCUCCAAGCCCAAUUAAUACUGGGUUGAAAAUUCUGAGAAGAGGGUGAGUAUGAUGCUGCGGUCAUGAUCUAUGUAUUAAAGUGUUAAGGCAUGGGUUUGGUUGACAGGACAAUACUGGUUUUUCAUUGCUACUACUUAAUAUGAUUCUUUCUUACUGCUAUAUGAAUUUGCUGUCAAAUAGCAGUAAAUAAAAGACUUCAAAUAAAGCAUGUGUUUAUCAUACAUGGACUAAUGCAGCAGUUUUAGUAGAAGGGGCUAAUAUGAUUUUAAUCUAGAACAAGAUGGCUAAACCCAAAGAUGGUGGGAAUAAUAUCCUCAAAUCAAUUGUUUUGGUUUUCAGUGUAAUGUCAUUUGUAAGUAUCAAAAUUUGUUUGUUAUCACAUUGGAAGGUAGUAUCUGUCAUGAAAUUUGUGGAAGACCUUUACCUAUGUUUGCUUUGGGUCUGUUUUACGCCCUCUCGAAUUAAGUAAAUUUUUAAUUGCCAUCAUGAAAUUAGGCUAAAUAUGUGUAGUUUUGAGCACUUUCUUUCUUCCAUUUCAAUUCAUAGUUUCAUACAUAUUCAAUAUCAUGUGGGAAUUAAGUUCUUGCUUUUAAGGUGAAUAACAGUUUGUAUUCUUGCAGAAAACUAUUUUCUAAUGCAUAUAAAUUUCAUUUUCUAUUUUCAGCAUUGGAUUAUGUUAUGUAAUUUUUCCUUUGUAUUAUACAGAGUAGGAUUUUAAUGUUUCUACUGAACAGUGCUAUCUUUUUUCGUCCAUAUUCUGAUUUUGUUCAAUUUUUUUCAGUAUGUGCCACAUGCAGAUCAGAUGUAAGGAAUUUUCUAAAUUUUUUUUCAAGCUUUCUUGUUUGCUUAAAGUUUUCUGUAAGUAUUUAACUGUCUUAAGUUGUUAAUGAGGACUAAGGACUGAAAAAGAGAAUUAGCCAUGACAUGGUGGCAUUAUCCUUCUUCAAAACCAUUAGUUUUUUUUCCUACAAAGAUACAUGUCAAGAAAGCAAACCAGGAACAAAAGUGAUGUUUAUGAUUGCUUUCUCUCUUGUUUACUUGCUUUCUUUUUGUUGGACAAUUGUCUUAAUUGCAUUCACACCUAACCUGCAGUAGUUUCAGUCCCUUUGGGGUUGUCAUAAUUGCAGCCUCAAGAGUGGUGGUGUAGUCCAACAUCAACCAGUGAUAUAGUUCAAAUAUAGCAUAUACAUGAAAGUCGUGUUGAUAAUCAAAGGUUGCUUCAUCUUAACUAAUAACAUGUAAAUGUCAUUUGAAUGGUUAAAAAGGAAUUCACCAGUGUAACACAAAAUGAAUGGAUUGCUUGGUUAUGUGUCAACUGUUGUACUUUUUUUGAGUUGCUUGAAAAUAAUUAAAAUUUGUUUUCAUCUAGAUCUUGGUUUUUUCCUAUGAUCAAAUCUCGAUUUAUUUCUGUGCAGAACUUUCUUGUGGACAUAAAAGGACCAGCUAUAGCAUUUUUACCGGUGCUUGCAUUUGAAGGAGGAACUAGAAGAAAUAUACCUAGGUUUGAGGUGUGUAUAAAUUAUUUUUGAUGUAUUUCGUGAUGUAGAUGUAAAAUAAUGCAAUACUUUGUUUUUAGUUUCAAUGUUACUCUUUAUCUGCAGGUUGGAAACAUAUCUUGAUGAAAUAUAGAAACAUUUUUAUUCAUAAUAUAUAUAUAAGGAUUACACAUUCAUAAUUAUUUCUUUCUGUCGUAGCAUUGUCUACCUCAAAUCACUGCAACUUUCUGUUGUUGGUAUAAAAAUACAAUAUUUUAAUCCCAGUUUUGAUAGCCUCUAUUCUUCAGUGGUUGAGAUAUUUUUUAUAAGAAUUUAGAAGUUCUGAGAUAUUUAUGAUAAGAAUUUCAAGUUCUUUGUUACUAGCAGUUUAAUGGUUAUAUCAUUUUUGUUCUCUGGAAAAUAUCUUAUACAAAAUCGGUACUUAGAUUUGGUAUUUAUAUUGUUCAUAUGUAGAAAUCUAAUACUAGCAAAUUUUGUCUAAUUUAAAAGCAAUUACAUUCUACUCUUUGGAAUAUGUUCUGGCCUGCUUUUAUGAAUUAUUUGAAAAUUUGUAAUUAUAAAAUUUAGUCUUUGAAAUUAUAAAUUUAAUAGAGAAGCAUCCAUACUAAACUUUUAUAUUAUAAAUUGUCAGUUUUAUAUUGAAAACAUAUCCCCUUUAGUAUAAGACUUAAAGGAGAUGUCUUUUGGUAUAAAAACUGAAAUAAAAAAUAUUUUAACUAUAUGGGUCAAAUGGAUGAUUAAACUUAUAAAAUGUACAAUUAAACUUAUAAAUUAUAAUAAACGAUACUUUAAUUUUAAACUAUAUUGAACUUUUAUUAAUGUUCUCGCUUUUCUUUAAAAGCUAUUGAACUCUAUCUAACAAUAACUUAAAAAUGAGAAAUUCAUGAUAAAAUUUCAACACUUGUAAUCUAGAAGUAUUACGAUAAGCCAGAAGAGGAAGAGACUAGUUGACUGGGUAGCUUUCGGCGUUCCUCUUCCUAUCUUCCCCUGUUUCUCCUGAAGAGUGUGCAACAUUGCUUCCACUGAAUUCUUCAAUGUCAUUUUCUGAUGCAGAAUAGUCAACAGCACCACCAUAUUUAUCAUCUUUCUUUUUCGUAUAAAGAGGGCAUAUGCCGCAUUCUUUUAUUCUGAUACCUGAUUUCAACUCUCUCUCAACUGAUUCGUAAUCUGGCCGAUUUGGCCGCAGAAAGGGAUCAUACGGACUGAUCUCAAAAGUGAAGCUGCGAGCAUCACACAGCCUAAGGCUCAUGCCGCUCGCCAUUAGGGACUCCAAGUUAAAUUUCCACACGAAUGUCCCUUCACCAUCCCAUUUGAAAUAGCUAUUUAACACACCCUUAUAUGGAAUGAUCUGUGUGCCAUCAUCAUAUUCAAAUUUUAGGCUGUAACGAAAAGAACCAUAUCCACCUUUAAUAUCUAACACUCCAAAAGCUACACACAAAGCGAAACCAGUGAGCCUAUCAUCGCUGCAGAAACUUAAAUCUUCAUUUAUAGUCACUGAAUGUCCCUUCCCACGAAAAUUGAACCAACCAGGAACUGCACUCCCUGGAAAACAGAACAACACACACCUAUAUGUAUCGUCGAUCAUCCUAAGCCUUGCAUCCUCCUCGAUGUUAGCACGAGCACCUGAAUCCAGUUGUUGAGCAUUGGUGAAAUGAUAUUUGAAGACACCCUCUUUGGAAUUUGACAAGUUUGGAACAAGAGAAUUUGACAUCACUCUUCUAAUGGAUGGGCAAUCCAAUGCCUCGAGUUGUUCUAGAAAUGGUGGAAUCGGUGGAAUGCAUUCAAGCUUUUUGCAGUCGCUUAAAUCAAGUGAUUUCAGGCUUGAAAGAUGAGCAAUGCUCUCAGGAAGGUUCACGAUUCCGCUAUCACGCAGUGACAGUUCCAUUAAUGACGUCAAGCGACCGAUGUGUCUUGGGAUUUCUGUUAAUUUGGCACACCCCGAACAAUCAAGUUUAGAGAGAAGCUUCAUAUUAACAAUGGAGUUUGGAAGUGACUCGAGAUAAGUGCACUCUUGGAGUUCCAGGGAUCGAAGAUUAACCAAAUUGCCAAAUGAGGAAGGCAGUUCUUUAACAGCCGUACAUGUCAAGUCAAUAUGAGCAAAAGUAUGAGCCGGCUUCAUGAUCUCUGGGAAGGUCCUCAGCCUUGAGCAACCACCCAAAUCAAGCUUCCUCAAUUUCAAAUUGAAAAUGGUGCUUGGAAAAGUUUGAAGUGAAUUACAGUAGGUAAGGUGUAACUUGCAUAGUCUGGUGAGGCUUCCAAUGGAAGAUGGAAUAAUCUCAAGAUUCAAGCAACUGUGCGAACUCAGUUGUUGAAGCCCUACCAAACGGCACAAGGAUGAAAACUUAUUUUAUUUUUGCUGUUCAUGCAUAACAUUAACAAAUAUUGACAUGAGAGAUUGUGUUUGUAGGCUUCUAAGCUCACCAACGUGUCCCGUUCUUGAUGCUUUAGGGAAGAAAAUUUCCUUUGAGAUUGCAAAAGGACUCAGGAGAAUUUAGAAGUUCUGAGAUAUUUAUGAUAAGAAUUCAAGUUCUUUGUUACUAGCAGUUUAAUGGUUAUAUCAUUUUUGUUCUCUGGAAAAUAUCUGAUACAAAAUUGGUACUUAGAUUUGGUAUUUAUAUUGUUCAUAUGUAGAAAUCUAAUACUAUAGCAAAUUUUAUCUAAUUUAGAAGCAAUUAUAUUCUACUCUUUGGAAUAUGUUCUGGCCUGCUUUUAUGAUUGUAAUUAUAAAUUUAAUAGAGGAGAUUACCAAACAUCCAUACUAAUUAAACUUUUAUAUUAUAAAUUUUUUCAGUUUUAUAUUGAAAACAUAUCCCUUUAGUAUAAGACUUAAAGGAGAUGUCUUUUGGUAUAAAAACUGAAAUAAAAAAUCUUUUAACUAUAUGGGUCAAAUGGAUGAUUAAACUUAUAAAUGUACAAUUAAACUUAUAAAUUGUAAUAAACGAUACUUUAAUUUUAAACUCUAUUGAACUUUUUUUAAUGUUCUCGCUUUUCUUUUAAAUGCAUUUCACUUGUGUGUUUUGUAUUCAGGCUGAUUUUAACUUUAUUCUCAAAUAUACAAAAUAAUUUUUGGUAAUUAUCUUGUGUCGAUCUUGACUUGUAGUAUCAAUGUGAAAUAUGUAAUAAUUACUUUUCUAUGAUUCAGAGGGAAAAUUAUUCCAACUAGACUUUUACAAAUAUAUUUCAAGUGGUAAUAUGAUUUUAAAAAAAAUAGGAUUCGCCACAAAAAAAAGUUACUGUUCCUAAUUGACAUGGUGCUGUCAAAAUUAUUUAAUUACAAUUUAGAUCUUCACUCUACAUAUAAUUAAUUAAUUACCAAUUAUUUAAAAGACUAGUAAAUUAUAAUUUUAAUCUCUCUACAACUUUCUAAAUUUAGUUAUGAUUCUCUCAAAAAAAUUUCCCUUAAAUAUUAAUUAUAAUUACCUUUAGACAGAAACAUUUCUAAUUUAAACAAGCAAAAAUAAGAAAAAAAAAUAGAUUACAAAAACUAAAUUUGAAUUUUUUUAUAUAACUCCAAAUAUAUUUUAUCCAUAAAUAAAUUCUAUUAAUAUUUCAUUUCUGUUUAAAUAGUUUAUUCAUAUUUGUAAUAUUAUUUUCAAAAAACAAUAAUUGUUUUUUGAAUAAAGGUUUACAAAUUCUAUAAUAAUGUAAAUGAGAAGAGGAGUGAGGGUAAAAAUAUGAGAACCUAUGUGAGGGAAUCUUGUGACAAUUUAGCUGGUGUUCAACUUGUGAGAAGUCUUUCAACUUGGUUUUCAAGUUUUAUAUUCAAUUUCUGUUCCUUCAAAUGUUUCUGAUUUUACAGCUCCUCAGGAUUUUACAGCUCCAUGCACAAACCUAAUACAAUGAUAUGAUAUUCAAUCAGCAUUAAUUAGCAUAAACAGGUACCUUGUUGUAAAACUGGGAAUAUGAGAUUCCAUAGGAUGGAGAAAAGUAUGAAGAGGAAUUACCAAUCACCAUUUACCAAUCAUAAUGCCUUCACUACAAAUGCAACCCAAAUAUGCUAAAGAAGUUAAUGAAACUAUAUAUGAAGAGUUUCAAGAAGAUGCAACUCUGGGACAACAGAGCAACCCAUCUCAUGCUGAACACAAACAUCAAACUACAUCUAACAAUAAUUCAGAAAUCUUAAUCAACAAUUGAGCGAACCCACUCCUAAAAUGCCAUUGAGAAUGUAAAUAAAUCAAAAUACAUUAAAAACGAGAAAUUCUUAAUAAAAAUUCAACGUGUUGAACCUUGUAAUUUAGAAGUAUUAACGAGAAGCCAGUUUAGAUCCUCACCAAUGAAAGACUAUUUUACAGGUUAGCUUCCACUGGAUUCUUCAAUGUGAACAGCACCACCAUAUUUAUCAUCUUUCUUUUUGGAAUAAAGAGGGCAUAUGCCGCAUUCUUUUAUUGUCACAACUGACCACCCAAAGUCAUAAAGAGGACUGAUCUCAAAAGUGAAGCUGCGAGCAUCACACAGCCUAGGGCUUAGGGAUUCUAAGUUAAAUUUCCAGACGAAUGUGUGAUCUUUAUCAACAAAACUGUAUUCACCAUUCCAUUUGAAAUGUCUGUUUAACCUAUCAUUAUUUGGAAUGAUAUGUGUGCCAUCAUCAUCAGAUUCAAAUUUUAGGCUGUAACCAAAAGAACCAUAUCUACCUUUAACAGAAUUCGUAUCUAACACUCCAAAAACCACACACAAAGCGAAACCAGUGAGCCUAUCAUCGCUGCAGAAACUUAAAUCUUCAUUUAUAGUCACUGAAUGUCCCUUCCCACGAAAAUGGAACCAACCAGGAACUGUACUCCCUGGAAAACAGAAGAACACAGACCUAUAUCUAUCAUCGGUCAUCCUAAGCCUUGCAUCCUCCUCAAUGUUAGCACGACCACCUGAAUCCAGUUGUUGAGCAUUGGUGAAACGAAAUUUGAAGACACCCUCUUUGGAAUUUGACAAGUUUUGAACAAGAGAAUUUGGCAUCACUCUUCUAAUGGAUGGGCAAUCCAAUGCCACGAGUUGUUUUAGAAAUGGUGGAAUCUGUGGGAUGCAUUCAAGCUUUUUGCAGUCGCUUAAAUCAAGCGAUUUCAAGCUUGAAAGAUGAGCAAUGCUCUCAGGAAGGUUCACGAUUCCGCUAUCACGCAGUGACAGUUUCACUAAUGACGUCAAGCGACCGAUGUGUCUUGGGAUUUUUGUUAAUUUGGCACACCCCGAACAAUCAAGUUUAGAGAGUAGCUUCAGACUAACAAUGGAGUUUGGAAGUGACUCGAGAUCAGUGCAUUUGCGGAGCUCCAGGGAUCGAAGAUUAACGAAAUUGGCAAAUGAGGAAGGCAGUACUUUAACAGCCGUAUAUGAUAAGUCAAUGCGAGCAAAAGUAGGAGCCCGCUCCGUGAUAUCUGGGAAGGUACUCAGGCUUGAGCAACCACACAAAUCAAGCUUGCUCAAUUUCAAAUUGAAAAUGCUGCUUGGAAAAGUCUGAAGUGAAUUACAGCGGGUGAGGUGUAACUUGCAUAGUCUGGUGAGGCUUCCAAUGGAAGAUGGAAUAAUCUGAAGAUUGAAGCAACUGCGCAAACUCAGUUCUUCAAGCCCUAUCAAACGGCACAAGGAUGAAGGUAGUGCCUGUAUGGCUGUGGCGUCUAAGAUGAGCACCGCUAGAUCUUCCAACGUGUCCUGAAUCUCGGGUAAAUUUUCCAAUUUUGAGCAACCACGGAGAGAAAGUUGAUUUAUGAAUUUCAUAUCAGAAAGGUCAAUUGGAAAGAUUGUAAGAGAAGAACAGUGAGAGAGAUCUAUGUGAGAGAGCUUCUUGCCACUAAAUUGUAAGGGCACACCUUCGUAGUCUUCUGAGUAUUCUGAGUCUGUAGCAUUAUUAGCAUUUAUCUCUUUCAUCAUAUCCGGUUCCUGACGCUCCAGUAUGACAUGAGGGAGAAAUUUAUCUUCAUGUUCACCCAAUGAAAACAUAUUAAGCUUCUCACAACCGGAAACACUAAUCCAUCCUGGUGAUGUGGAUAAAAUGUUGCUGGGAAUAUUUACACUUUUGAGAUUAGAACAAUGAUCUAAACAUAAACAACUGAGCUUGGUGAGGAAUAUCGAAGAGUGAACUUCAAUCAACUUUGAACAAUAACUCAGCUUUAUUUCUUCAAUAUUCGGUGACAGAGAAAGGUCUGGUAUUCUAGUAAGUUCCCAAGAUUUAACCAGGUCGAGCCUUUUCAAGUUGGGUAAAUUCUGCCAGAAAUAGUAAAUGAAUGAGGUAACAAAUAAAAACUACUUUAUCUAUUUUUCUUCCUAUUUAAACUAUUAGCUACUAUCUAUUGAGUUUAUAUUUUACAUUACUUAAAAACCACUGUUAAAAAAACCACACUGUGGACUAACAAAACUCUGCCUAUAAAUUUUAUAGUUAUUAUAAAAAAUCACAAAAUUUAACGUCUUUUUGUUCCCUACCUAAAAUUACAUCCUAAUCAUUUGAACCUAAACUUAUUAUGUAUUCAAAAACUUAUGAUAGUAAUUUAUAAUCGAUCACAAUGUCAAAAUACUUUAUAUUAUACAUGUAUCAACUCACAAAAUAAAUGGUGUUGUCUCAGAUUUAAAAUUAAACCUUAGUUAAAAAGUCCAUCUUUCCAUAAUUUAUUUUAUUAAAUACAUAAUUUGUAAUUUAUUGUAUAUUAUAUUCAAGUUUAUGUUAUGAUAAAAAAAGUAUCUAAGGCAUUUUUAAUUAAAUAAUAUAAAAUAAACAACAUGAACUCAAUUAAAUAAUAUAAAUUUUUUUGAAUACUCGAUGGAAUAAAAAAAUUAAUAAAACCCUCAAUUUGAAAAUAACCAAAUUUAUAAGAUACUUAAAACUUAAUUAAACCUACAAAUUUUCAUUAUAUGGAAUUAAAUAUUGUAAAGAUUUACCACAUAAGUUUCAUAAGUAGAAGGUUUAAACAUAAAAUUCUUCACGUUGGGAGUUUCUUUCCUCUAUCUUAUAAGUUUUCGUUGUUUCUUUAAUAUUUUUUAUAUGGCUUCUGUCAAUGUAAUUUUUUUUUUGGUUUUAAAAUAUUAUUAAAGAUAAAAUAUGAAGACAGGGUAAUUAAAUUAAAUAUAAUUUUUAUUUUUCAGAAAUGAUGAAAAUUAUAAUUAAAUUAACUAAAUUAUAUAAAAUUCCAUUUUAUUUACAUAACUCAUUUUCAUAUUAAAAAACUAUAUAAGAUCUUCCAAAGUAGAUAUAAUACAUUCACGGGCCAUUAGAUGAUAUGCCUAAAAAAAUAUGCAAACUAUUAAAUUUAUAAUUAUCUUUAAUUAGAAACAUGCUGAGUAUGACUCAAAUAAAAGAAAUUUCAAAUCGAAUAAUGUCGAGAAGGCACAAAGGAAUUGCAAAUGAAAACUUGUAUAUGUAUAAUACAGAAAACAUGCUUGUAUAAUUUAUUUUUAUCUUUGAAAGUUUAGAACACAAAGGAACAUAGAUAGCUUGAAAAACCUGAUCUCCUUCCCAGAGUUGUUCAAGAUGGCAGAAUGGCAUUUCGAGGGUCACUAGAUUUUGUGGGCAAAAGUUUGGAGGCCAAAAUCUUUGAGGGAAAUGUGUCCAAUAAAGAAUCUUUAGAGUGUCUGGCAUAUCCACAAGAGGUGAUUCAAAAGACACUUUUAAUUCCAAUCCCCACGUGUAGAGCCUAAGCACCCUAAGAUUGUUCAUCUUUUCGAAACUUUGUGCAUGUACUACAACUUCUUUUACUUUGAAAGUAGAUAGUGAUAUACACUCUAUUGAAGUAGAUAGUGAUAUACACUCUAUUGCAUCUGACCCCUGAAAGUAAAUCAUGAAAUGUUGCAUUGCAGGAUGUUUGAUGACAGCUCAGUGGUUUGCAAUUUUUCACAAAGUAAAUCCAUUCUCAAUUGAGUAACGACAUAAUACCUUGUUCUUUCUUAAAACCUCUCAAAUUUCCUCAGCAUUAAACAAUCGGCUGCGUUUUCCAGGAUGCUGAGGACACUCUUUACGAACAAUUUCUUUACCCAUUUCUUGUAUUAGAUCGUGCAUCACAAUUCUACCAUGAAAGACAGAUAUUAGGCCCCUAUCUUUGAGAAUAUCCAUUCCAAUCUUGGAAGAGAAACCACAGUCAGCAAGUAUUUCUGCUACCACAAUCUCUUGUGACCUAUAUAAAAGCAAGCUAUGUCAAGAAAUAUAUUCUUCUCCUCCUCCUCGAGCCCAUCAUAACUUAAUUUUAAUACAUUGAAAAUACCAAGAUGUUGGCCCUUUUCCAACUUUUGCAACUGACUCUCCCAUGCUUCUCUUGUUCUUCCAUAAAGCAAUGACCCCAAAAUCUGGAGAGCUAAUGGAAUCCCUUUUGCAUAUCUCAACACCUUUUCUGACAGUUCCCUGUAAGCAAUUUCUUCUGAAGAUUUUUGUUUAAAAGCAAGUAAACUAAAAAGUUUCUGAGAAUCAUCAAAAUUCAACUCCUUAACUUCGUAGAUAUCAUCAGCUCUAGCAUUCUUAAGCACUUGUUUGUCUCUACUGGUGAUAAUGAUUCUACUGCCCUGCCCAAAACUAUCACUCCCUCUUAUUAAUUUUUGAAGUUGAGCUGAAUCGGUAACAUCAGUUAGAAGUGGAACACGUUUGUAGAAGUGGAACACGUUAGUUGGUUAGUUGCCUUAAGAAGCGGAUCAUGUAUUUUUUCUUGAACGUCUAAAACAAGGCUGCUGGAAUCAAACUGCAAUUCCAAUUUGUGAUAUAUUUGAUCACAAAUUGUAGUUUUUCCUAUUCCUCCCAUGCCACAAAUGCCUAUGAUCCGAACAUCCGGUAAGUCAAGAUGCAACAAGGACUGAAUUCCUUCAAUAUUUUUUUCAAUGCCGAUGAUUCCUUGAUCAUAACUGAUGGAAUAACGAUUCAAUUUUCUCAAAAUAUCUCCCACAAUUCCUUCAACAAGUGUGUGUUCUGACCUGGCAGAUGAUUUAGAAAAUAAAGUAUAAGUAUUCAUGCACAAAAGCUAAAACAAAACUAAAGAAAAAUUCAGAGUCAAGAAGAGUGAACAUCAUUGAAUAGAUUCACAUAUUGAUUGUAGGACGUUAUCUUCGAAUAUUAGUGUGGUUGGUUUAGAAAUUGCAAAUCAAGAUCGCAGAAAUUCUACAGUAACCGGUAGUGACUUCUGAUACUAGGAAGCAGUCUUGUAGGUACAAAGUUAAGCUAUAAGAUGUGAUAUGGUUCAGAUCUAUGACCCACUACGAAAAAUGGAAAAAAGAAACACUUGAUUUAUGGUGAGAUGAACACAAUUUUAGUAAAUGAAAAGAGAUCCUGAUUAUCUAAUAAAUAUAAUGACCUGGUGACUUUUGAAUCCCAGCCUGAAAGUCCAGCAGCUUCGGUGAGAGCAUCCUUCCAUCCUUGCACUUUGUCGUGCUUAAAGUGCUGCUCAUGCUCAUCGAAUGCUUCUUUGUAUCUUUCUUCCUGCUUCCUAAUAGUUGACGGAUCCACCUUGUAGAAAACAGGUAUGACAUCCCUUCCAUAUCUCUUCUUGCAAUCAAGUAUCUUAGUGAGUUCAUUCAAGCACCAAGUGGAAGAUGCAUAGUUUUGGGAGAAAACGACGAUAUAAAUCUUCGAUUCUUCUAUUGCAGAGAGCAGUGCAGAUGAAAUUUCUUCGCCCCGGGGUAGUGUCUCAUCAAUAUAUGCUUCUAUGUUCUUCCUUUGCAGUGCUGGAUGAAGGUGGCUAAUGAAGUUGUCACGUGUGUCUUCCCCUCUGAAGCUGAGAAACACAUCAUGCUUUGUUAGAGAAGUGGACACGGGGAAUGAUGAAGAACUUCCUGUUUAAUUUCUUCGCCCCUGUUUAAUCUGUAAUCAAUAUAUGCUUCAAUGUUCUUCCUCUGCAGCGCUGCAUAAAGGUGACUAAUGAAGUUGUCACGUGUGUCUUCCCCUCUGAAGCUGAGAAACACAUCAUGCUUGGUUAGAGAAGCAGACAUGGCCAAUGAUGAAGGGUUUCAAUUUUCUCUGCAACUCUCAGAUCCCUUUGUUUGUAAGCAACUUGCAUAUAUUCUAUUUCUAUCACAAAUCAACUUUUGGAAAAGCCUUCAAUUCAAAAUAUGCUUCACAGCUUUAUAUUAACGUGCCUAGCUUUAUACCAUUCUUACGCAUUGGUAAAGAUUCUUCAAUAUCUUUACUCAAUUUGUUUCUUCAAUACCUUUUACACAUUCUUACGCAUUGGUAAAGAUUCUUCAAUAUCUUUACUCAAUUUGUUUCUUCAAUACCUUUUACAUAUAAAGAAUCGGAUUUGUUUAAUAUAUUUUAGAAAAUAACCAGUAAACAGAAAACUAGGUUAAUAUGACUAAAUGAAUAAAGAUAGUACUCAUAAAAAAUAUUUUAGAUUACAAGUGGUAUAACUAAAAUAAAAUAUUUUAUUUUUAAAAUAAAAUUUAUAAAUAAAUAAAAAAAUAUAAUUGUUUAGUUUUCGGUGUAAAACAAUAUUCAUUUUUAUAAAAAAAAAUCUUUUCUCUUUUAUUUUAUUUUUAUAUUUCUAAUUAGAGUAUUCUUGAGUUUGACAAUAGAAUCCUUUCUUUGGACUUUUGGAAUUAAAUAAAGAUGUUAAUUGAAAAAAAAAAUUGAAAUAGAAACUAAUUUAGAAACCAAAUUUCUUUUUAGUUUCUAAAAUGGUCUCUAAUUUAGUUACUAUUGCAACUAAUUGUUUUGGUUUCUAGAAAUUGGUUUCUAUUUCAUGAUUUUCUUGUAGUGUAUACUGAAGGUGUGCACCCCUAUGAAAUGUUUUUAUUUCUAGUUGAUGUGUGAUUUCCAAUAAUUAUAUAAAUUGAUUGUUAUAUGCAGUGUGAAGUUUAACCUUGAUUUUUACUUGAAAAAAUGGAUUUUAAUAUGAGGUAUGCAUGCUCUCAUACUCAAAUUCAAUAAGCGGAAUUUUCACAUGUCAAUAGAAUUUGAACCUGCAUAGUUUUGGGCACUCUCCACCUCAAAUUCGCUCAAUGUUUUUUCCUGCGUUUAAGCGAAAUUACAUGCAGAUUUUGGAGUACUUUCGGGCUUAAAAUUGCUCAAAGAAAUUUCCCUAUGGCAAGCAAAUUUAAGCUACAAUUGUUUGGGUGUUCUUUGCCUCAAAUUCGUUGCCUCAAAUUCGUUCAGCGAAGAUUUCUCUGGGCUUAAGCCCCAACUUCAUGGGCUCGAGCCAUUUUGACAACAUUUGUCAUCUUUGCUUAGAUAUCUUUUGGUUUGUUUUCUAUAGGUCAUGAAAUUGAAUUAAAUCUUUUGAAAUUUAACAUGUGUUUAAAAUAAGUAAAUCUAACAUUUAUAAUCAUGCAACAUGUGUUUAAUUUAUAAAAAAAAUAUAAAACAAAUACUCAUUAUAUAUUCAAUUGAUAUGUAAAAUUUUAAAUAUUAUGUGAUUAUUGUUGAUAUUUUGUAACGGUUUUAAAAAUAUAAACUUCUAUAUGAUUGAAUGAUAUAUUAUCGAUACAUAGUAAUUUCAAGUAAGGAAAUACUUUGUUAAGGAUAGUUAGGAUGUGUCUUGAUUAGUAAUACAUUUAGAAUAAGAUAUUUGACUCUAUUCACAUAUUAAGGUGGUGACAGUCAAAUGAGAUUUAUAUGAUUUGAUCUACAAUAUAAAAAAUCAUAAUCUAACAUGCCAUAUGAAUUAACCUUGUCAUAUUAGGUGAUUCUAUUAUGAUAUUCUUAUUCGCAUAGAUGUGUGAAUUUCACAAUGGGGUAUUAUAACAUGUGCAAAUUUUUUAGUCUAAAUCAAUGUACGAUUCUUUCAGAAAUAGGGUCAAGUGUACAUGUGGAUCUAAUUAGAUUUUUGACAUGAGUAAUAUGGAACACAAGUCAUUUAGAGACACUUAAUUGUUUAAUAUAUUAGGAAUGAAUGAAGUGUGAUUAUUCAUAUGAUUAUGAUUGAAUGAUUCAAAUAUAAAUUUUAAAAAUCAUUAACUUAGCCUAAUUUCUUGUUAGUAUCAUUUUUUUGUUAGUAUCGUUUUUUUUUUAGAUUUGUUAUGAUCGUGAGUUACAUGUGAACAUAUGAUGUUGUAUGUUAUAGGCCUCAAAAUUGAAAAUGAGAGAGUUUUUUCUUUUAAUUCUUUUGAUGUUUUAUUUUGAUGUAUAUAUUUGAUUAUGAUAUAAUAAUAUUACAAUGUAAAUGUUAUUUAUAUACUAUCACAUGGUAAAUUAAAAUUUAAUAAGGUAGUUAAGGAUGUUAUAAUUAUUCUUUUAAUUUAUUUUAUUUCACUGUAUAUUUAGGUGUAUUACGUAAAAUGUAUAGUUAAAAAAAAUAAUGUUAUUUUGAAAUUUAAGCUUUUGUUAAAAUUAUACCAUUUGAAAAGGAACACAGAACAAUCUUGACAAUUAUACUGACUUAGUACUUAUUUUAAUUUAUUAUAUUCAUGAGUAUUAUUUUUUUCUUAAACAUAAAUAUUGGAUAAAAAAUAUAAAUAACAUUUAUUUAUUUCAAAUUUAAAAAUCUUUAAAAUAAAUAUAAAUAAUAUUUUUAAUCAAGAUGUGUUUUUUAACAAUUUUUUUUAAUUUAAAAAUAAUUAAUUCGGACGAUGAUUAAAGAAAUAUUAACAAAUUAUUUCUGCGAUUAUAAUAAACCUUCAAUAAUUUUUGCACUUUCUAGCAUAUAGAAUAUGGAUCCUUUUGUGAUUUUUCUUUUCUAAAGUACAAUUGAUAUUUUAAAUGUUUUUCUAUUUAAUUUUCCUUUCUUAAUGCACAUAAAAAUUUCAGUGCACAAUUAUUACUCACCUUAAUUCAAAAUGGAAAUUAAAAUUCAAGAACCCUACUUAUAUAUUAAUAUUCAACGAUUUAAAAUAUUAGUAUGCAAAUUAAUCUUUCUUAAUAAUAUUUGUAACAAUUUUUAAUAAUUCAAUGUGAAAUAUGUAAUAAUUACUUUUCUAUGAUUCAGAGGGAAAAUUAUUCCAACUAGACUUUUACAAAUAUAUUUCAAGUGGUAAUAUGAUUUUAAACAAAAAUAGUAUUCUCCACAAAAAUAAAUAGUUACUGUUCCUAAUUAAACAAGUCACAUUCUUGAACAAAAUAUCAAAUAACAAGGAAUUAGACUAUGAAAUGAUGACCAAUUAUAUUAAACAACAUAACAUACAUUUCUCAAUGUACACAAGGUAUAAAUAAUACAAUAUCAUCCAAAACCUGUGUUCACUAUGUAAAUAAACCAUUUUUUUUGCCAUUACCUCUUUCAUGAUGAUGAUUUGUUUACUAGGGAUUGCAAUGAUAGGUCAUGAUCAAAACUUAGGCCUAAGACUAAAAAUAGAAUGAAAUGAGCAUGAAAAUAAAGAUAACUUUUGAGUGAGACACAUUCUUCCUUACAAGCAGCAAGUUCUUCCAGGUUAUCUUCUCUUCCUUCAACCGUAGCUGUGCAACCGCCUGUUGUUCAUUGCCACCAAUAUCUCUAGUGCCAAAACUAUGUUUUCCAAAAUUAGAGUUAUAUGGCUUUAUCUGUGAAGUCUUACCAGCCAUAAUGUUUUAUUUUACUGUUUUGUUGUAAUCAUGCCAAUAGAUAAAUCGUGGAUUUGUAAACCACGAAACACCAUUGAGUAUGCAAAUGGGUUGAAUGUGUUUUUGGAUAUUGCAUUUCAACAUGCUAAUGGUCCUGUAAUUAAGUGUCCAUGUGCAAAGUGUGGUUUCAAAAAGUGACAAACAAGGGAUGUAAUCCAAGAACACUUAACAUUUACAACUUUCCCUCAGAACUACAAAACUUGGUAUUUGCACGGUGAAAGACCAAGUGUAAUUGAGCCUAUGGUCACUACAAGUGUGCAUGUCAUUGAAGAUUUAUUUGAAUCUCAAAAUACAAUGGAAGACAUGUUGAAUGAUGCAUUCGAGUUUGCGGGACAUGAUGAGGAUACUGAAGUUGAUGGUUUGCAAACUAAUAUGGUGGGUGAUGAAGGAAUAUGAACUUUGAUGAAUUGAUGAGGGACAAUAAUGAACCCUUAUAUGAAGGUUGUACAAAGCAUUCGAAGUUAUCAUUCAUGUUGAAGUUGUACCAUAUCAAAUGCAUGAGUAGAAUGAGUGACAAAGCAAUGACCAUGAUUCUAGACUUGCUAAUGAACACAUUUGAACAUGCUAAGUUUCCUAACUUGUUUUAUGAGGCGAAGACUGUGAUUACCAAACUUGGACUUAAUUAUGUCAAAAUACCAGCUUGCCCAAAAGACUGAAUGCUAUAUUGGGGCGAAGACAAUGAAGGCUUAGAAGAAUGUAAACGGUUCAAAACGUCUAAGUGCAAAAAAAAAAAAAGAUAAGAAGCAAUUGCAUUACUUUCCAUUAAAACUGUGAUUGCAAAGAUUGUUUAUGAGUUCUAAGAUGAUUGAGUCUAUGACAAGGCAUGCAUCAAAGGAUAAUCAAGAUGGAUUGAUGAGGCAUCCUAGAGAUUCUGAGGCUUGCAAAUCAUUUUAUUGCAUCCAGAAUUUGUAAAUGACCAUUGAAAUGUACGAUUAGACUUAGCUGCUUAUGGCUUUAAUCCUUAUGAAAACAUGAGUAAAAACCAUAGUAUAUGACGAGUGGUUAUCAUCCCAACAAUCACCCUCCUUGGGAGUUAUGAAGCAAACAUCUUUUAUCCUCUACAUGAUAAUUUCUGGAAAACAAAUGGUAGAAAAUGACAUUGAUGUUUAUUUAAAACCACUUAUAAGCAAAUUGAAGGAGUUAAUAGUAUGAUCAUGUAAUUAUUAUUUAUAUACUAAAUAUUACGACAUAUAGUAAUUUAAAAUUUGAUAAGGUAGAUGAGGAUAUUAAAAUAUCUCUUUUAAUUUAUUUUAUUUUAUUGUAUAUUUAGGUGUAUUAUGUAAAAUAUAUAAUUAAAAAAAAUAAUGUUAUUUUAAAAUUUAAAGAAUCACGUAUAGAAAGAAACAUAUAACAAUCUUGACAAUUAUAUUCUGACUUAGAGAUACUUAUCUUAAUUUAUUAUAUUCAUGAGUAUUAUUUUUUUCUUAAACAUAGAUAUUGGAUAAAAAAUAUUAAUAAUAUUUAUUAUUUAAAUUUUAGAAAUAUUUAAAAUUAAAAUUAAAAUUAAAUAAUAUUUUUAAUUAAAAUAUGAAAAAAAUUCCUUAACAAUUUUUUUAAUUUCAAAAUAAUUAAUUCAGAGGAUGAUUGAAAAAAUAUUAACAAAUCAUUUCUGCGUUUAUAAUAAACCUUCAAUAAUAUUUGUACUUUCUAUCAUAUAGAAUACUUAAUGGAUCCUUUUGUGAUUUUUCUUUUCUAAAGUACAGUUGAUAUUUUAAAUGUUUUUCUAUUUAAUUUUCAUUUCUCAAUGACAAAUAAAAUGGUUCAGUGCACAAUUAAUUAUUCUCACCUUAGAUUUCAUUCAUCUCAUUCCAUUUCCACACUCAAAUCAUUCUCACAUUUUUUUCUACCUAUUUCACAAAGUUUUUGUUAAAAUAUGGAAAUUAAAGUUCAAGAACCCUACUUAUAUUUCAUAUUCAACAAUUUAAAAUAUUAAUAUGCAAAUUAAUAUUUCUUAAUAAUGUUAUUUUUAUGUAAAAAUUAAAAUGUAGUUUAGUCAUUCAUACUUAGAUGGAUAAAAAUGGUUUUAGAAAGAAAAAAAUAUGCAUUUUUUUGAAAGGUUAUCUAAACUCUAAACUCAUUGAUGAAUUAAUAAUAAUAAAUAAUAUGGAAUUCUAUACGAAUAGCAUAUAAAUGUUUUCUUGUUGAAACUGAUAAUUAAUUCAGUCUAGGGACAAUUAUCGCGGUAUUUGUUCUUUUAUUUUUAAUGUUUAAACAAUUAUAAAAUUCUGUUUUUAGAUAUUAAAAUGAUAGUUUUCAUUUACAGAUUAAAAUAUUACUUGUUUCUUUUAAGAUUUUUUGUAUUAUAAUUAUUUGUUGUCUGAAUUGUUUUGAUUUAACAUGUUGUUUUCUUGGGCUAUGAUAUUGUGAGGUUUUAUUACAUGCAGGUACGUGAAUAUUUUUUUUAUCCUAGUUGUAUAAAUCAGGAAAAUUGUUUUUCACAUUAUAAUAACCGUUUAACAACUCUAAAUAAUAAUAAAAUAUUAACUCAUAUUGUUUAAUUAAAGUAUAAAUUAAAUUAUUAAAUAAAAAAGUAGUAAAACUGGUUGCAGGAUGGGAAUAUGAUUAUUUUUAACUGCUAGCUCCUGAUUAUUCUUUUCUAAUAAAAAAAACACCAAUAGCAACAAAACAAGUUUUGACACACGUAGGUUUGGCAAUUGUUUUAAUAGCUGAAAAUAGUACAACAAUUUUUAAUUACCACAAACUGCAUCUUAAAUCAUAAAAAAUUAGCAUUUUGUUAGUUCAUAUAUAAUAAAAUUUCCAUAAAACAGCCAAUUGUAUUAAUUAUUAAUAAUGUAUUUACAAUUUUUUUAGAUAAUUUUUUUACUAUAAAGACAUUUAUUUGAGAUUGAAAUUGUAAUUAACACUUUUUGGUCAAAGAAUAAUAUAUUUCACUUGAUUUUUUGUAUUAAAUAUUUUGUAUAGCGCUGAGACAAAAAAAAAUCUCAUAUAAAUCCCUAUGUGCUACAAGUACAAUAUAACAUCCUUAAUGUAAGCAAUAAAAAUGAUGAAUACUCAAAGUCGUGUAAUUACGCAAAAGAAUCAAGUGAUUUUUAAAAGAACUCACAUGAUCAGUUUAAAUUUUGACGAUAAAAUACAUUAAUUAUAUAUAUUUAUUCAAAAUUUCAAUUAUAUUAUGCAUUAAUGGUUUUAUGCUUUUAGAGGAAUCAGAGAAACUUAGAAAAGCUCCUAAAAACUAAUGUAACCCUAUGAAUAGAAGAGAGCUAAAAGAAAGAGAAAAUGGAAGUGAGAAAAGAUGAUAAUUAAUAAACACGCUCUCUUCAUAACAUAGAGUCUUUAAACCUAUAUUCCCUCAAACAAUUAUAAAGAAUUAACAAUCACACUUUUAUAAGUCAUCACCCACAUGAAACAAAACAAGGUGCCUCAAUAUGAAUAAACCAAGAUUAAUAAGAAAUAUGAGGUUUCACUAACCAAGCUCAGAAUUUUCUGCUUUUAUAGCUCCAUGCACAAACCUAAUACAAUGAUAUGAUAUUCACUGCAAAUGCAACCCAAAUAUGCUAAAGAAGUUAAUGAAACCCAAAUAUAAAGAAUUUGAAGAGAAUGCAACUCUGGGACAACAGAGCACACCAUCUCAUGCUGAACAGAAACAUCAAACUAUAUCUAACAAUAACUAUACCUAUGUUUGCUUUGGGUCUGUUUUUAGUUUCAAUGUUACUCUUUAUCUGCAGGUUGGGAACAUAUCUUGAUGAAAUAUAGAAACAUUUUUAUUCAUAAUAUAUAUAAGGAUUACACAUUCAUAAUUAUUUCUUUCUGUCGUAGCAUUGUCUACCUCAAAUCACUGCAACUUUCUGUUGUUGGUAUUUGCAUAUCACGAUGGUUAUUGAGAAAUUUAGGAGUUUGCUGUUGUGUACCAGAAGUAAAAUAGAAGGUUCAUUUUUUGGUCAUCAUCAAUUAUUAAUGUAAAUAGAUAUAGGUGAAGGAGAUCAGUAUUAUGCAUUGUAUCAUGGACCAUUAGAAGACUAGGGUCACCAAUUGGAGGCAUUGGUAACUUUGGCUAGUAAAACUAAAACCAAAGUCCAUUUUUACAAAGCCUUGGUCUAAUUCACCUUAUAGCUGUACUUUUUCCUCCAUUUUAAUAAUAUUAAGUUUUCAUUUUCUAUGCAUAAUCUUGGGUAAUUUUCUUUUUAUAUCAAUGCUUGAAGUGUCAAAUUGUUACAAGCUGGAUUAUUAAGAAAGAAAAGAGUGCAUUCUGGAUGCUCGAAAGGGAGUGUUUCCUAGAAAAAAAAUGUGAUUUCAGGGUGUCCAGGCUCAGGUAGCAAUGGUAGGAGUUCCACAUUGAAAUGGAUGAACUACUUGAUUUAGUACUUUGGGACUCUCUCACCUAAUGGACUAGUAUUUUGGGUUAGCUUCUCUCCCCUUAAUGCUUAAGUCCUAAAAAACAGUUUUUCUGUUUCUAUUUAUCUUUUAGGGUGUGAUUAGGACCAUGAAGCAGUGGGUGUUUUUUCCAUUAAUGAACUUUGCCACUGCCACAGAUCACCUAGGUUAACCUAAUUAAGUCUUCUGAAUUGUAUUUUGUAAUUAAUUCUUGUAAAACAUGGAGUGUAAAAUUCAUGUACAUUUUUCUUUUCCUCUUUUGAUUUGGAUGUCAAACUAGCAACUUCAUGUUUUGUCUGGUUGGUCUAUCACAUUUAUGUAGGUUGUAAUCUAUUUUGCCUAAUGCAUCAGUUGCAGAUAGGUACUAAAUUAUCUUAGUUCGGAUACACCUUGCCAAUUAGAUUAAGAUCAAGAAUUUAAAGUGAAUGGUUCACUUCUGAGUUCUUAAAUGAGAUAAAAUGUUCAGAGAUACUAAAUCAUCGCCUUCAUUUGAAAAUUGGCGUGCCUAUUAUGCUUUUGAGAAAUAUUGAUCAAACCAACGGUCUUUGUAAUGGAACAAGGUUGCAAGUUAUUGAUUUGAAGAAAAUGUUAUUUGUGCAAUAGUUCUAACAGGAACAAAUAUUGGUGAUAAAAUCUUCAUUUCAAGAAUGAAUUUGAUCCCUUUAGAUGUAGGUAUGCCAUUCAAAUUCCAGAGAAGACAAUUUCCAAUAGCUUUAUGUUUUGCAAUGACAAUUAAGAAAAGCCAAGGUCAAUUAUUGACCAAAGUUGGUUUAUAUUUUUCACAUCCAAUUUUCACACAUCGAUAGUUGUAUGUAGCUAUUUAUAGAGUUCGAAAGAAAAAAGAUUUAAAAAUUCUAACUCUUGAUGAAGAUGGAAUGCAACAAACAAGAAAAAGAAAAUGUUUACACUGAAAUUUUUGACAAUAUUUGAAAACAAUAGAAUUAUAUGAUAAACUUGGAAUGGCUAAUUCUCCCUGCAACCAAUAUUUUUGAACCUGCAACUUUUAAAUUUUUGAAAAUGCUCUUUAUUCCAGAAAUGAAAAUAAUACAUUACAAAAAAAAUAGAUCCAAAAAAGAUUAUUGUGUUUUGGUAAUAAAAAUCGGAAAACAAAAAUCAAAAGCCCAUUAUGAAUAAGAAAAUUCGUAAUACAAAAAAUUUGGUCUUAAAAACAAAAUCUGAAAACAUAUUCCAGAAAGAAAAUCCGAAAUGUAUUUUUAUAUAUAACCCAUUUUUUCAAGGGAGUUUCGUCUUUUCUAUUGUAAAAGGGGUUGGAAUUUGCUCCCUUGGAAUUAUAGUUUCUUAUGUGUGAUGUAGUAACAGUUGCCUUAUUUAAAAUGUUACUAAAUAACAUAUAAUUUAUAUCUGUUAUUUUUAUUCUGUUAUGACUUUAUAUAUUUGUCACAACAUGAAUGAGGCACAAACCCAUCUCAUGUUAACGAAGUUGAGAAUUUUCUGAUUUUACAGGUCCAUGCAAAAAUCUAAUAUAAUGAUAUGAUAUUCAAUAUCAAGAGGUACUUGUCGUAAAACGGGGAAUAUGAGAGACUCCAUAGAAUGAAGAAAAAGUAUAAAGAGGAUUUACAAAUUAACCUUUCAAAUGCAGCUCCUCAGAAUUUCAUAAUGCCUUCACUGCAAAUGCAACCCAAAUAUGCUAAAGAAGUUAAUCAAACAAUACAUGAGGAGUUUCAAGAAAAUGCAACUCUGGAACAACAGAGCAACCCAUCUCAUGCUGAACAGAAACAUCAAACUAUAUCUAACUUAGAAAUCUUUGUCAACAAUUGAACGAACCCACUCCUUAAAUACCAUUGAAAAUGUAAAUAAAACAAAAUAAAUUAAAAACGAGAAAUUCAUAAUAAAAAUUAAACGUGUUGAACCCUGUAAUUUAGAAGUAUUAACGAUAAGGCAGUUUAGAUCCUCACCAAUGAAAGAGACUAGCUGACUAGGUAGCUUUCGGCCUUCCUCUUCCUAUCUUCCCUUGUUUCUCUUGAAGACUCUGCAAUAUUGCUUCCAUUGGAUUGUUCAAAGUCAACAGCACCACCAUAUUUAUCAUCUUUCUUUUUCGUAUAAAGAGGGCAUAUGCCGCAUUCCUUUAUUGUGAUACCUGAUUUCAACCGAAAGUGAUAAUCACACGGACUGAUAAGUGAAGCUGCGAGCAUCACAGAUUCUAAGGCUCAUGCCGCUCGCCCUUAGGAACUCCAAGUUAAAUUUCCACACGAAUGUGUGAUCUUGAUCAACACAUCUCUCUUCACCAUUCGAAAUAGCUGUUUAACACAUCUAUCAUCGCUGCAGAAACUUAAAUCUUCAUUUAUAGUCACUGAAUGUCCCUUCCCACGAAAAUGGAACCAACCAGGAACUGCAGUCCCUGGAAAACAGAAGAACACAGACCUAUAUCUAUCGUCGGUCAUCCUAAGCCUUGCAUCCUCCUCAAUGUUAGCACGACCACCUGAAUCCAGUUGCUGAGCAUUGGUGAAAUGAAAUUUGAAUACACCCUCUUUGGAAUUUGAGAGGUUUCGAACAAGAGAAUUUGGCAUCACUCUUCUAAUGGAUGGGCAAUCCAAUGCCACGAGUUGCUUUAGAAAUGGUGGAAUCUGUGGGAUGCAUUCAAGCUUUUUGCAGUCGCUUAAAUCAAGCGAUUUCAAGCUUGAAAGAUGAGCAAUGCUCUCAGGAAGGUUCACGAUUCCGCUAUCACGCAGUGAUAGUUCCAUUAAUAACGUCAAACGACCAAUGUGUCUUGGGAUUUCUGUUAAUUUGGAGCACCCCGAACAAUUUAGAGAGAAGCUUCAGAUUAACAAUGGAGUUUGAAAGUGACUCGAUAUCAGUGUAUUUCUGAAGCUCCAAGGAUCGAAGAUUAACGAAAUUGCAAAAUGAGGAAGGCAACUGCGCAAACUCAGUUGUUGAAGCCCUACCAAACGGCACAAGGAUGAAGGUAGUGCCUGUAUGGCUGUGGCGUCUAAGAUGAGCACCGCUAGAUCUUCCAACGUGUCCUGAAUCUGGGGUAAAUUUUCCAAUUUUGAGCAACCACGGAGAGAAAGUUGCUUUAGGAAUUUCAUAUCAGAAAGGUCAAAUGGAAAGAUUGUAAGGGAAGAACAGUAAGAGAGAUCUAAAUGACAGAGCUUCUUGCAACUAAAGUGUAAGGGCACACCUUUCAUGAAUUUUGUCAACACUUCUAAGUAUAUAGUAUUAUUAGCCACUUCUUCUUCUUCAUUAUAUCUGUCAAAAGUAAUUGAGGAAGUUGGGAAAAUAUGACCACUGUAUGCACGAGGUUCACCACGCCGUCCUGCACCAUGCCGUUCUGAGAAAUUUAUCUCUUUGAUCAUAUCCGGUUUCUGGCGAUGGAAUCUUGAGAAAGUUUGACGUUGACGCUCCACGCUCCAGUAUCACAUGAGGGAAUCUUGAGAAAUUUCCACGUUGAUGCCCCAGUUUCUGAUGUGGGUAUCUUGUGACGCUCCAGUUUCACAUGACGAAAUCUGGGUUCACUGGUUGAAAACAUAUUAAGCUUCCCACAACAGGAAAUAUUAAUCCAUCCUUGUAAUGUGGAUAAAAUGUUGCUGGGAAUAUUUAUACUAUUCAGAUCAUAACAAUUAUCUAAACAUAAAUAACUGAGCUUGCUGAGUAAUAUCGAAGAGUGAACUUUAAUCAACUUUCCACAAUAACUCAGAAUUAUUUCUUCAAUAUUUGGUAAGAGAGAAAAGUCUGGUAUUCUAGUAAGUUUCCGAGAACCACUCAGGUCAAGCCUUUUCAAGUUUGGUAAAUUCUGCCACAAAUAGUAAAUGAAUCAGGUAACAAAUAAAAACCACUGUUAAAAAAAUCACACUCUGAACUAACAAAACUGUGGCUAUUCACUAUCAACAAUCCCUCUCAAAUACACUUCUACUAAUACAUUAACAACAAUAUCAUUAUAUUAACCAUAAAAUAUUACAUUUCUUCAGUUAAUACGUAGGACAAUAUAAUAAUCAGGUCACUCAGCUAAUGAAAAAAAUUAAACAACAUGAACUCAAUUAAAUAAUAUAAAACUUUUGAGUACUAGAUAAAAUAAGAAAAUUAAUAAAAAUUCAAUUUGAAAAUAAUCAAAUUUAUAAGAUACUUAAAACUUAAUUAAACCUACAAAUUUUCAUUAUAUGGAGUUAAAUACUAUAAAUAUUUACCACAUAAGUAGAAUGUUUAAAUAUAUAUUUCUUCACGUUGGAAGUUUUUUUCCUCUAUCUUAUAAGUUUUCUUUGUUUCUUUAAUAUUUUUUAAGCCAAUGUGAUUUUUUUAAUAUAAAAUAUUAUUAAAGAUAAAAUAUGAAGAUAGGGUAAUUAAAUAUAAUUUUUUAUUUUUUAGAAAUGAUGAAAAUUAUAAUUAAAUUAACUAAAUUAUAUAAAAUUCUAUUUCAUUUACAUAACUACUUUUCAUAUUAAAAAAACUAUAUAAGAUCUUGAAACUAUAAUUAAUAUUUCUACUCAUUUUUCGUUUUUGUUGGUGAAAUCUUGAUUUUGGGAUAGUAUUAGUGAGAUAUUGUUUGGAGUUAAAAACAAGAAAUUCUUUUGCAUAAUCAAUUUGAACAGUUUUGAUUUUGAAACCAGAUUUUCAGAGAAGAGUUUAAAGCGUUCAAAUGCAGCAAGAGCUUGAGAUUUAGCAUGCUAGAGAUAAAUUCAUGUAUAUUUUAAAUAUGCAUUAGGAAAAGAGAUAUCGUAUGAUGCAACAUUAUUAGCACAAACAACAAACAGCAGAACGUCCCCAAAUAUCAAUAUAGAUAAAUUCUAAAAGGUGAUUAUCCACACUGUUUUAGAACAACUUUGAUUACAGAAAAACUAUAACGCCCAAGUCUAUUAUGCCACAAGUGAAAAGAAGUUUUUUCAUAUUUAAAAGAUGUGUAGUUAGCAGAAAAAACAGAGGAUCAGAGAUCAAGAAAGACAGAGAGAUCAUCUUUAAGUGUGCCUUGUAGAAGAAUCUGUUUAGUUACUUAGUCUUUAACAUAGCAAGAAUGAGGGUGAAAUUCAAAAAACACAUUGUUGUUACGAGCAAACUUUGAAACACUAAGCAAAUUCUUAGUAUAAUGAGAAACAUGUAAAAGAUCAAGGAGAGAGAAGGAAGUACAAGAGGUAGACGACACACAGGAAGCAGAACCAAUGUGGGAGAUUUUUAUACCUGCACCAUUACCAAGUUUAACGUUCGCAAUGCCAUGAUAGAUUUGUUGAUCAUUGAACAGAGUAUGGUCGUUUGUUAUAUGGUGAGAGACACCGCUAUCUGGGUACCAUAAUGGAUCUUCUAAAGAUGAUGGUGGACCAAGAAGAGAGUAAGAAGAGUCAUCACGUGGAGGUGGAGAGAAAUGAGAUGUGUUUGCAGAGGAGGAUGGUGGUGUAGUACGAUCAAACCAGUGCCAACAAUGAAGAGCAGUGUGUCCAAGUUUGGAGCAUAUUUGACAGCGAACAGGGUUGCGUUUCCAUGAUGAAGACGUAGUGGAGUUCCAAGAAGAGUAUUGGGAAGGUCGGGGUUUGCCGCGGUUGAACUGAUUCUAGUUAGAUGUGGGAUUGUAACCACGACCACCACAGGAGGAGUUGGAAAAGGGGAGGUGGAGAGAAAUGAGAUGUGUUUGCAGAGGAGGAUGGUGGUGUAGUACGAUCAAACCAGUGCCAACAACAAUGAAGAGCAGUGUGUCCAAGUUUGGAGCAUAUUUGAGAGCGAACAGGGUUGCGUUUCCAUGAUUACGACAGUAAUAAAUGUAUUAUAUUCUUCAGAUAGCCUUCAAGGAUGAUGUCAAUAUGAUCAGUGGAAACAGGGGCAUCAAUAGCGGCAAGCAUGUUGACGGCGUUCUUGAUAUCAUGGAGAUAGGAGGAGAUGGAUCUGUGAUGACCUGAUUUUGUUGUUGGUACCAUUAGAGACUUGGGGACUGUCAUCAGUGGUGGAAGAAGUGGUUCUUGAUGGAACACUAGUGUCGUCAAGAAAAUGACCCAGUUUGAGCCCGCAAAUGGAGGCAAGGACUUGAUGUUUCCAGAGAAGAUAGUUAUCUUCAUCUAGUUUAAGAGUGAUGGGUGUUGUGAACUGUUGAACGGAAGGCAUGACCAGAGGUAACGGGCAAGAAGAAGAUGCAAAAGAAGAUGAAGAGAUAUGAGUGCAGUGCAUUAGAAUAGAGAGAGAAAGGAGAAAGAUAUUAUCUUAGUAUAUGUGCUAAAGGUAUAUAAGGAGUGCAGAACUGGAAACACUUACAAAGUUGUCGUUACACAGUUAUAGUAUGGUUAACAAUGUAUAAUACAGAAAACAUGCUUGUGUACUUUAUUUUUAUCUUUGAAAGUUUAGAACACAGAGGAACAUAGAUAGCUAGAAAAACCUGAUCUCCUUCCCAGAGUUGUUCAAGAUGGCAGCCUGGCAUUUCCAGGGUCACAGUCUGGCAUUUCCAGGGUCACUAGAUUUUGUGGGCAAAAGUUUGGAGGCCAGAAUCUUUGAGGGAAACCGUUCCAAUAAAGAAACUUUAGAGUGUCUGGCAGACCUACAAGAGAUGAUUCAAGAGACACAUUUGAUAUGAAUAUAGGCAUGUAGACCAUAAGCAUCAUAAGAUUGUCCAUCUUUUCGAAACUUUGUGCAUGUACUACAGCAUCUUUUACUUUGUUCGUAUGUAGUAAUAUACACUGUAUUGCAUCUGACCCCUGAAAGUAAAUCAAUUUAAUUAGGAGAAAAAAAACAUGAAAUGUUGCAUUGCAGGAUGUUUAAUGACAUCUCAGUGGUUUGCAAUUUUUUACAAAGUAAAUCCAUUCUCAAUUGAGUAACGACAUAAUACCUUGUUCUUUCUUAAAACCUCUCAAAUUUCCUCAGCAUUAAACAAUCGGCUGCGUUUUCCAGGAUGCUGAGGACACUCUUUACGAACAAUUUCUUGACUCAUUUCUNNNNNNNNNNNNNNNNNNNNNNNNNNNNNNNNNNNNNNNNNNNNNNNNNNNNNNNNNNNNNNNNNNNNNNNNNNNNNNNNNNNNNNNNNNNNNNNNNNNNGAUCCAUCUUUUUCUGCUGCUACCAUGUCGAACUCCCUUCAAAUCAAUACAAUGUCUUCACCAUCAAUCAGCCAAGUGAUUAAUGUUAAACUCACACAAGAAAAUUAUUUAUUGUGGUCUGCUCAAAUCCUUCCCUAUUUACGUAGUCAGGGGCUGGUUGGGUUUGUGGAUGGAUCCAUGCCACCACCAAACCAAACGAUUACGGUUGAGUCAAGUGAAGAAACAGGGAGCCGCAAAAUCCUGAAUUCACAGUCUGGUACCCCCAGGACCAGCUGGUACUCAGUCUCAUCAACUCAUCGGUUACCGAGGAAGUUCUCAGCACGGUGGUCGGAAUCACCACUGCACGAGAAGCCUGGGAUAUGCUGGAGCGGCAAUUUGCCUCCACAUCUCGAGCACGAGCAAUGCAGAAUCAUAUGGAACUCUCCACGAUCCAAAAGAAGGACAUGACAAUUGCUGACUAUUUUCGUAAAGUAAAACGUCUCGGAGACACUCUGGCUGCCAUUGGCAAGCGAGUAGAGGAUGAAGAACUCAUCGCCUACAUGCUGCAAGGACUUGGUCUAGAUUAUGAUCCUCUUGUCACAAGCAUUACAACUAGAACAGAUGUUUACACUGUCAGCGAUGUGUAUGCUCAUAUGCUGAGCUACGAGAUGCGUCAUCUGCGUAAUGGUACUCUUGAGCAAUUUCCUUUUGCUAACAAUGUCAACAGCAUGUCUAAUCGAGGAGGAACUAAUGGACGUCGUGGUGGUCGUGGUCGUCAAUCAAAUGGUGGUCGAGGACAAACAUGGCACACUAGAAACAAUUCUGGACGUCAGCCAUCAAAGGCACAAAGUAACUCAGACAAAGUCUGUCAGAUUUGUGGUAAGCCAAACCAUGAUGCUUUGCAAUGUUGGCACAGAUUUGAUCAGGCAUAUUAAGCCGAAGACAAUCUUAAACAAGCAGUUGUGGCCACAAGUGGAUAUACUGGUGAUGCAAACUGGUACGUAGAUACUGGAGCCACAGAUCACAUCACCAACGAGUUAGAAAGACUUACCACCAACGAACAUUACAAUGGCACUGAUCAGAUUCAAGUUGCAAAUGGCUCAGGUUUUUCUAUCUCUCAUAUUGGGAACUCAUUAAUUUCUGGUUCAUCUAGAUCUCUUGUACUGAAACAUAUCCUAUAUGCUCCUAAAAUCAAUAAACAUCUGAUUUCAGUACAAAGACUAGCAUCUGAUAAUAAUGCCUUUGUGGAAUUUCACCCACACUGUUUUUUUGUUAAGGACCGAGCCACGAAGGAACUUCUGCUCACAAGUAGAUGUAAGAAUGGCCUCUACACUUUACCAAAUAACUCCAGCAAAGCAUUCCCGACAGCCAAACUUUCGAAAGAACAAUGGCAUAGAAGACUUGGGCAUCCUGCUUUCCCAGUCACAAUUAGAAUCUUGAAAAAUAAUAACUUAGCUCUAGAUACUAGAGUUUCUUCUUCCUUAAUUUGCCAUGCUUGUCAACUAGAAAAGCACAUCAAUUACCCUUUGUUUCUUCUCAACAUGUAUCUACAGCACCUCUUCAAUUGAUUCAUACUGAUGUAUGGGGUCCAGCCAUUGUCUUAGUGAAUAAUUCUAAAUAUUAUGUUUCAUUUGUUGAUGAUUUUAGCAGAUAUGUUUGGAUUUAUUUUUUGAAAUACAAGUCUGAUGUUGAGUCUGUGUUUCAUCAGUUUCAAAAACAUGUUGAAACCAUGCUAAACACCAAAAUUCGCUCUGUCCAGUCAGAUUGGGGGGGUGAAUACCAUCGUUUGCACCAAUAUUUCAAAACAACUGGAAUUGAGCAUCGUCUUUCUUGUCCUCACACACAUCAGCAAAAUGGGUUGGUAGAAAGAAAGCACAGACACAUUGUGGAAACUGGCCUUACUUUACUUGCCCAAGCUAACAUGCCUUUGUCCUAUUAGGAUGAAGCCUUCAAUACAGCUUGUUACCUUAUAAAUAGACUACCAUCUCGAAUCAUACAAGCAAGACACACCACUUCAUAAAUUAUUUGCAAAAAAUCCAGAUUACACCAUGCUUAAGGUGUUUGGCUGUGCUUGCUGGCCCAAUUUAAGGCCUUACAACACCAAGAAACUGAGUUUUCGAACCACUAAGUGUGUCUUCUUAGGCUAUAGUUCUUCUCAUAAGGGAUACAAGUGCUUAGAUAGAAGUACAAAACGAAUUUACAUCUCUAGAGAUGUAAUCUUUGAUGAAAAUGUGUUUCCUUUUGAAGAAUUAAAUUCUAAGUCAUCAAUCCAAACCAAAAAUUCACACCAGCCUGCUCUACUUCCAACCUUCGUUAAACCCGUUCCAUACACUGAAAAUGCUCUCACAAAUAUUGAACCAGUUGUUAAUGAUUCUCGUAUAAUUGAUGGUCAAUCUAAUGAUGUUGCUAAUAACAACUUGUCUGGUAUAAGCUUACAUCCUGCAGAUAAUACAAUAAGUCCAGAAAUUGUUGCAGAACAGGAAGCUGAGAACAGUCUGACCAAUUUCCAAGAACAGAUGUUCNNNNNNNNNNNNNNNNNNNNNNNNNNNNNNNNNNNNNNNNNNNNNNNNNNNNNNNNNNNNNNNNNNNNNNNNNNNNNNNNNNNNNNNNNNNNNNNNNNNNGAACAAGAUUGAAAAAUAACAUUGUCCAAGCAAAACAGUUCACUGAUGGUACUGUCAGAUAUUCAGAGACCUCAAGAAAGUUUACCGGUGCUGUCACUGUCAAAAAUCCGACCACAAUAAAUGUACUAAAAAAUGCUACUGAGACUGAUACAGUUACUGAACCUCAAAACCUGCAGGAAGCUCUACAAAGUCCAGGUUGGCAGGAAGCAAUGAAUAAUGAGCUCUCAGCAUUACAACACAAUGAGACUUGGGAUUUCGUUCCACCAAAACCUGGCAUAAAUCUCAUUGAUAGUCGAUGGGUGUAUAAAGUGAAAAGGAAAGCGGAUGAAUCAGUGGAGAGAUUGAAAGCAAGGUUGGUUGCUAAAGGGUUCAAGCAAAGAUUUGGCAUUGAUUACAUUGAUACCUUUAGCCCCGUGGUCAAGCCAUCAACAAUCAAAGUUAUUCUUUCACUAGCAGUAACCAAAGGCUGGAAUAUGAGACAAGUUGAUAUCCAAAAUGCAUUCUUGCAUGGAAUUUUGGAAGAGGAAGUGUACAUGCGACAACCAUCGGGAUUUCAAGACCCAUAUAAACCAAAGGAAUACAUAUGCAAACUCAAGAAAGCGCUUUAUGGCCUGAAACAGGCUCCAAAGGCUUGGCACUCAAGACUGACUGGAAAACUUAUGGAAUUAGGCUUUAGAGCUUCUGUAGCUGAUUCAUCUUUGUUUAUCCUCAAAAACAAAGAGGUAACCAUCUAUAUGCUCAUAUACGUUGAUGAUAUAAUUAUCGUGAGCUCCUCUGAUCAAGCCACCGAAAGGUUGAUUCAGAAGUUGAAAAUAGAUUUUGCUAUAAAAGACUUAGGUGGUCUUGAGUAUUUUCUGGGUAUUGAAGUCAAGAAGGCAAGAGAUGGCAUCACANNNNNNNNNNNNNNNNNNNNNNNNNNNNNNNNNNNNNNNNNNNNNNNNNNNNNNNNNNNNNNNNNNNNNNNNNNNNNNNNNNNNNNNNNNNNNNNNNNNNAAAUUAUUCAAAGAGCAGGGAACACUCUUGUCAAUUGAAGAACAAUUUAAAUACAGAAGUACUGUGGGAGCAUUGCAAUACUUGACAAUGACCAGGCCUGAUUUGGCAUUUGCUGUCAACAAGGUUUGCCAAUACCUUCAUACGCCUACUGAUGCUCAUUGGAGUGUUGUAAAGAGAAUCCUUCGUUAUGUCAAGGGCACAUUAGAUUUGGGAAUCAGAAUUCAGAAGUCUCCAACAAUGCUGCUGUCCGGAUUUUCUGAUGCUGAUUGGGCUGGUUGUCCUGAUGAUCGACGUUCAACUAGCGGCUUUGCUGUAUUUCUUGGAGCAAAUCUAAUUUCUUGGAGCUCUAGAAAACAAACCACAGUGUCCAGAUCGAGCACCGAAGCAGAAUACAAGGCCAUUGCGAAUCUGACAGCAGAAAUGAUUUGGAUAAAAUCAUUAUUGAAAGAGCUUGGUGUGUAUCAAUCAAAAGCUCCUCGACUCUGGUGUGACAAUCUAGGAGCUACAUACUUAACUUCAAAUCCAGUGUUUCAUGCAAGAACAAAACAUAUUGAAGUUGACUUCCAUUUUGUUCGAGAACAAGUGGCACGCAAAGCAAUGGAAGUUCAGUUUAUUUCAUCAAGUGAUCAAGUGGCUGAUAUCCUAACAAAACCACUGUCUAGAACUCUCUUUAUUACACAUUGUAACAAUCUCAACAUGUAUAAAACCUGUUGGGAUUGAAGGGGACUGUUAGAAUUAGUCAGUUAGAAGUGGAACACGUUUGUAGAAGUGGAACACGUUAGUUGGUUAGUUGCCUUAAGAAGCGGAUCAUGGAUCCAACCGUGUAUGCAAUCAGUUACCUUUCUUUAAUUAUAAAUACAAUACGUCCUCCACAUAGAGAGGUACAGUUAGCAAACUUUAUUAGAGCUGAAUCGGUAACAUCAUCAAGAAUGAGGAGAACCUUUGUCCGUUUGAGCCUUUCAUUGUAAUAUGGUGAAGAAGAGGAUUUCUCUUCCUUUAGAAGCUCAGACUGAUAUUUUGUUCUGAUACUGUCUAUUCCAUCUCUUUGUAUUUUUUCUUGAACGUCUAAAACAAGGCUGCUGGAAUCAAACUGCAAUGCCAAUUUGUGAUAUAUUUGAUUACAAAUUGUAGUUUUUCCUAUUCCUCCCAUGCCACAAAUUCCUAUGAUCCGAACAUCCGGUGACUCAAGAUGCAACAAGGACUGAAUUCCUUCAAUAUGUUUUUCAAUGCCGAUGAUUCCUUGAUCAUAACUGAUGGAAUAACGAUUCAAUUUUUUCAACAAGUGUGUGUUCUGUGCUGGCAGAUGAUUUAGAAAAUAAUGUAUAAGUAUUCAAGCACAAAAGCUAAACUAAAGAAAAAUUCUACAGCAUCCGUUUGUGACUUCUGAUACUAGGGAGAAGACUUGUAGGUACAAAGUUAAGCUAUAACAUGUAAUAUGGUUCAGAUCUAAGACCGACUAAUAGAAAUGAAAAAAGAAGCACUUGAUUUAGGGUGAGAUGAACACAAUUUUAGUAAAUGAAAAGAGAUCCUGAUUAUCUGGAAAGUGCGUGACCUGGUGACUUUUGAAUCCCAGCCUGCAAGUUCAGCAGCUUCGGUGAGAGCAUCCUUCCAUCCUUGCACUUUAUCGUGCUUAAAGUGCUGCUCAUGCUUUUCGAAUGCUUCUUUGUAUCUUUGUUCCUGCUUCCUAAUAGUUGAUGGAUCCACCUUGUAGAAAACAGGUAUGACAUCCCUUCCAAAUCUCUUCUUGCAUUCAAGUAUCUUAGUGAGUUCAUUCAAGCACCAAGUGGAAGAUGCAUAGUCUUGGGAGAAAACGAUGACAUAAAUCUUUGAAAAAUAAGUAUGAAAUCUAGAUAUAUAUCAUUAUCACGUGUGGAAGCUACGUCGUCUUGUAUUGGAUUUUCUAAUCUGCCUUUUAUCUUGUCUCAUUCUUCUUUAUCUUUUUUCUCUCAUCUCUCUUGCUUACGAUUUCUUUGCCUUUAUUCAGAAAUUUUAGUUAUAAUAAACCUUCAAUAAUAUUUGUACUUUCUAGCAUAUAGAAUACUUAAUGGAUCCUUUUCUGAUUUUUCUUUUCUAAAGUUCAAUUGAUUUUUUAAAUGUUUUUCUAUUUAAUUUUCCUUUCUUAAUGACACAUAAAAUGGUUCAGUGCACAAUUAAUUAUUCUCACCUUAGAUUUCAUUCAUCUCAUUCCAUUUCCACACUCAAAUCAUUCUCACAUUUGUUUCUACCUGUUUCACAAAGUUUUAGUUAAAAUAUGGAAAUUAAUGUUCAAGAACCCUACUUAAUAUUAAUAUUCAACAAUUUAAAAUAUUAAAAUGCAAAUUAAUCUUUCUUAAUAAUGUCAUUUUUAUGUAAAAAAUAAAAUGUAGUUUAGUCAUUUAUACUUAGAUGGAUAAAGAUGAUUUUAGAAAAAAAAAAUGCAUUUUAUUUCAAAGGUUAACUAAACUCUGAACUCAUUUAUGAAUUAAUAAUAAUAAAUAAUAUGUAAUUGUAUUCCAAUACCAUAUAAAUUUUUUUUAUUGGGUGCGUUUCUGAUGAAUUAAUGCACUCUAGGGACAAUGAUCGCUCUAGUAUUUGAUUUUUUAUUUAUUUUAAUGUUAAAAUUAUAGCUAUGUAGUACAGAUAUUACUGACACAGACAGACACGAACACGGACACAGAAAUACAUAAAAUCUCUAAAAUGUAGAAUACGGAGACAUUAAUCUAUAUAUUAUAUAAUUAUGAAUCAUAUAAAUUAACAAUAAAGAUUUAUGUGCACAAGUAUUUUUGAGAUUAUUUUUUAGAACAGAAAUAUGUUUUUCAUGACUAGUUCACAAAUAUUUGUUUCUUAUUCUUAUAAUCAUAAUAACAAUUUAUACCAUAAAGUUUCAAUUUUAGAAAAUUAAUGUAUUUUUUCUUUUUAAAAUUUCGUUAGAACUGUACUAGAAUUGUAAAAAAUCUAACAAAUACAUUUUGAAUUGGACAUUCCACGAAUACGUGUCCUACCAGUAUUUUGAACAACAUUCUUUCUUUUGGAACAAAGAGGGCAUAUGCCGCAGUCUUUUACUGUGAUAACUCAUUUCAACUCUCACACAACUGAUUCGUAAUCUGUGGGAUGCAUUAAAGCCUUUUGCAGUUAAAUCAAUAGUAUAUGAUGAUGUGAAUGUUAUUUAUAUACUAAAUAUAAUCACAUAGUAACUUCAAAUUUGAUAAGGUACAACAUGUUACCAUAUCUCUUUUAAUUUAUUUUAUUUCAUUAUAUAUUUAGGUGUAUUUAAUUUCUUUUAUUUCAUUGUGUAUUUAGGUGUAUUACGUAAAAUAUAUAAUUAAAAAGAAAGAAGAAUAAUGUUAUUUUGAAAUUUAAAGAAGACAUAUAGAAAUAAACAAGCUUUUGCUAAGAUUCCACCAUUGAAAAGGAACAUAGAACAAUCUUGACAAUUAUACUUUGACUUAUUUUAAUUUCUUAUAUUUAUGAGUAUUAUUUUUUCUUAAACAUAGAUAUUGGAUAAAAAAUACAAAUAACAUUUCUUUAUUUCAAAUUUAAAAAUAUUUUAAAUUAAAAUAAAAUAAUUUUUUAAUUAAGAUAUAACAAAAUAUUCUUUAACAAAUUAUUUUAAUUUCAAAAUAAUUAAUUCAGAGGACGAUUGAAAAAAUAUUAAAUAUUAUAAUAAAGCUUCAAUAAUAUUUGUACUUUCUAGCAUAUAGAAUACUUAAUGGAUCCUUUUAUGAAUUUUCUUUUCUAAAGUACAAUUGAUUUUUUAAAUGUUUUUCUAUUUAAUUUUUCUUUCUUGACACAAAAUGUUCAGUGCACAAUUAAUUACUCACCUUAGAUUUCGUUCUUCUCUUUCCAUUUCCACACUCAAAUCAUUUUCACCUUUUUUUUCUUCUUAUUUCACAAAACUUUAAUUAAAAUAUGGAAAAUAAAGUUCAAGAACCCUGCUUAUAUAUUAAUAUUCAAAAAUUUAAAAUAUUAAUAUGCAAAUGAAUAUUUCUUAAUAAUUUUAUUUUGAUGUAAAAAAUAAAAUGUAGUUUAGUCAUUCAUACUUAGAUGGAUAAAGAUGGUUUUAGAAAAAAAAAAAGAAUAUGCAUUUUAUUUGAAAGGUUAUCUAAACUCUGAACUCACUGAUGAAUUAAUAAUAAUAAAUAAUAUGGAAUUCUAUUCCAAUACCAUAUAGGAUGGAGAAAAGUAAGAAGAGGAUUUACACAUUACCCUUUCAAAUGGAGCUCCUCAGGAUUUCAUAAUGCCUUCACUGCAAAUGCAACCCAAAUAUGCUAAAAAAGUUAAUGAAACUAUAUAUGAAGAGUUAAUGAAACUAAAUGGCGUGUGCUGAAAUUUUUGAUCCGAUAACCAUGCCCACAUUCAAAAAGUGAAAGGUUACUUUGCUUUAUAUUCCUUUGGGUGGUGCUACUUUUCAACUUGACAACAAAUUCCCAUUAUUGUGUGGUUAUCAAUUACCAUUUAACUUAUUCUCAUACCACAUUCACUAUAUAAUAGUCCAUCAUAAACCCCAAAAUUUGCACAUUUUCUAUUUGCAAGACAUCCAACAGACAAAGAAAACAUGUGAAACUGUGUAAUAAUGUGAGAACGUAAGAACUUACUUCAUCAUGAAAUCAAGCCAUGCCUGAGGGUUUUUUCUGAGAGCAUUCACCACAGGUGCAUAUUCAUGUGGCUGUAUCCCAUACUCAGCUAGUAUUUCUGCUACCUCUGCCGCUUCUUUUUUUGUCAAAAAACACAUAUUCAUUAUUAAUGUGCAAUCAAAUGGUAACGAAACUAUGUAGUACAAACACACACUGAUACGACACUAGGACGAACAUACGUAUAAUGUUACUCCUUCUAUGGAAAUGAAGGAUAUUCAGCAAUAACUUUUAAAACUCAUUACAUAGAAAUUUGCAUCAAGUUAUCAAAGUCUAUAGGAAUGAAUUUUCAAUUCAUGGAAACACAGAUAACAAAAAGUAAUAGAAAAAUAGAAAAAAAGUUGUCAAAUGAUUCUAUAAAAAAUUAACCUAUCAUGAAAAUCAAGAUGAUAGAAAAUAAAAUAAUGUGGCAUGAACAUCAAAAUCGUAUAAAAGCAUAAUAGAAGAACAGUGGAUACCAGUUUCUGGCACGGCGAUGAUUUCUUCUUGCUCUCUUUUCAAUUCCCUCGAGUAAUUAUCGGCUUCACUUUUUGCUGCCAAAUAACUGCACAAUGAAAAUUAACAUGAAAUAAUAACGGAAUUUAAAUUGAGUUUUGUGAGUGUGAAGAGUGUGGUUGAACGUACCCGCCGAGGCCCAUGGAGAUGGCGCCGGCGGCGACUUCCGCUAUGCCAGCGGUGAGAACGAUGGAGGAGGUGACAUUGGCGCCGGAGAGGCCGGCGGCGAGGGCGAAGGGGACGGUGAGGCCGUCGGAAACGCCGAUGAUGAUGUCGCGGACUAUUUCGCCGGCGGUGAAGUGCUUCUCGGUGUGGUGGUUGAGAAGGUUCGUUCUCUCAGAAUCCACGCUUAUGCCGUGUUCGGUGGCGGCCAUUGGUGCAAGCUUGUGAAUGUGUUUGAGUUCGCCAACGUGCUCUGGGAAUCCAAACAAAGCCUUGCUGCUUUGCACAUAAAUUGAGCCUCUUUUGUGCUCAACUUACUCCUAAAUAGAACAAAAAUAUCUAACCGUUGAUGAUAUCCACGUGGAAAAUUAUCAAUGGAUAUCAAUAUCACAUUAUUUCUACACUAAUAUUUUAAUUAUUUUUAAAUAUUAUAACUAAAUCAAUCAAUAUAAUACCAAAUCUUCUUAAUUCUUUGGAUUAUAUAUAUUUUAUUUUAUUUUAUUUAUAAAGGAAGUUGUGAUAAAUGUUGUGUUUUGUGUGCACAUUAAUAAAAAUCAAAUAACCAAAAAAUAAUAAUCUUGUGAAAGAAAAAAUGGUAGAAUUUAUACUAUUCUACAAAAUUUUAAAAGUGGCUAAUGUGUUUUACUCAACUAUGUAAAUAAUUUUGGACUCUCUUGUUAAGGAAAUAAUGAAAUACAUUAAAUUUUGUUUUAUACUCUUACUUUAAGUUUUUUUGUGUUUCUCCUGACUUAAUUAAAUAUCAGAGAGUCGUCUUUUGCAGGUAGAUUUCAUUCUAUCAUAAUAUACCAACUGAAAACUUGUUUUCUGAAAAACACACGGCUCUCACCGAAUUGCACUUUCCAAUUUUUUUUAAUAGAAAUAAUAAUAAUUAAGUAUUUGUGUUCUUAUAUUUAAUUUUUAAUAAAAAAAUUAUUCUUAUGUACUUCUAAAUUGAUAUAUUUUACCAAUGUCUAUUAACAAUGGGAAGAAGUUUAUACCUAACAAAACUAUUUAACAUGAUUUGUUUGUAAAUUAUAGAAGUAUGUGUAGAAAGAUAUAAAAUUAAUGUUUUAAGAGAAAUUUAAGCAACUUUCAUAAUAUAUUGUAGAUUAUUAGUUGAAUUUAUGGAAAUUAAAAAUAAAUUGUAGGUCACCACACUUCCACUUUUUUUUAAUGAUAUCAAAUCACAACUUUACAAUUUUCACUAAUUUUUAACCAAUAACAAAAGAACAUCUUAGAAGAAGUGUGUUUAAGAAUUUGAUGUUAACUCUCAUUGUUUUUUAAACUUAAAUCCAGCUUUAUUCUUCAACUUUUAAUUUUUAUACAUAUUUAAUUGUAUAUAUAGUUUUUAACUCUCUAAAAUCAAACAAUUUUAAUUCAUUAAAUAGGCAAUGUCAUGAGUGUUAAACUUUUAACAUUUUUCUAGUAAUUAAAUUACUUAUGAAGAUUCAACUAAUUCAAAAUUUAAUAUUUUUACAAUUUUUAUUAUAAUAUUCUUAAAAUAUAUUUUAAUAUUUUGUUUUUCAUGUUUGAAAUAUAAAUGUUUUAAAAAAUCAUUUUAAAUUAUUUUGUUUCUCAUCUUAUGUAAUAAAUUACUAUAAUAAUUACUAAAACAUUUAAUACCUAUACAUUUUUAAUGAGCAAAAACUAAUAAUGAAUUAUAACAAAUAAAAAACGUUUCUGGGCAACAAAAUAGUAAUUAAUAUGAAUUAUAACAAAUAAUGAACGUUUUGUGGUAAUUUGUUUCACUUUCAAAUAAGUUAGUACUUCGCCUGUUAUUUCAUAACGGUAGUUUUUUUAAAUAUAUUAAGAAAAAUGUUUAUUUUUUUAUUUUUAAUGCACUUUUAAGUAACUUGCCUAUUAUAUUAUAUUAUAUGGGUAUUAUAUAUAUAUAGGUAAGCACCAAAAAAUAAAUUUAAGGUAAAAGUGAUAUAAUUAAAAUAAAAUAAAUUAUUAUUAAAUAGAAAAUAUAUAUAAUUAAAAAAAUCAGUUAUUUAAGUUUUAUUUUAAAAUAAUUUUUGUAAAAAAAUUUUCUUUUUUUCCUUGUUCACGAUUUUAAAUUUUAUAUUCACUUGGUAGACAUGUUUUGCAUGUGGUGUUUGGGACUUAAAAGAAUAAUAUAUGUUAGUUCAAGAUCCUAAUGAUGUGUUUUUAAGAAGUUGGACUAUCUUUGUUUUUUUAAGAAGUUGAAGUCUUUUUAUGAAUACUUAUCUUUUUAAACAGGUAAGAUAAACUAGUUUUAUCUGUAAAACUUAAGUUAGAAUAUCUGAAUAUGAAAUGUGAUUCUUCAUAUGAUUAUGAUUGAAUGAUUCAAAAUUCAAGUAUAAAGUUUUAAGAAUCAUUAACUUAUGUUUUUUUUUUUGUGCUAUUUUUUUGAUUUUUUGCAAUGAUUGUGUGUUGCAUGUGAGCAAAUGAUGUUACAAGUUGUAAACCUAAAAAAAAAUCAUGAAAUUUUGUCUUUUUUAUUCUUUUGAUAUUUUAUCUUAAUGAUAUAUAUAUAUAUAUAUAUAUAUAUAUAUAUAUUUAAAAAUCUCUAUAUGAAAGGAUAGUAUUUUAUGAUAUAAUAAUAUGAUAAUGUAAAUGUUAUUUAUAUAAUAAAUAUCAUGAGAUAAUUUAAAUUUUGAUAAGAUAAAUGAAGAUGUUACAAUAUCUCUUUUAAUUUUUUUUUAUUUCAUUAUAUAUUUAGGCGUAUUUAAUUUCUUUUAUUUCAUUGUAUAUUUAGGUGUAUUACGUAAAAUAUAUAAUUAAAAAGAAAAAAUAAUGUUAUUUUGAAAUUUAAAGAAUGACGUAUAGAAAGAAACAAGCUUUUGUUAAAAUUCCACCAUUGAAAAGGAACAUAGAACAACACUCUUGACAAUUAUACUUUGACUUAGAUACUUAUUUUAAUUUAUUAUAUUCAUGAGUAUUAUUUUUUCUUAAACAUAGAUAUUGGAUAAAAAUUAAUAAAAUUUAUUUAUUUCAAAUUUAAAAAUAUUUAAAAUUAAAAUAAAAUAAUAUUUUUAAUUAAGAUAUAAAAAAAUAUUCUUUACAAAUUUUUUUAAUUUCAAAAUAAUUAAUUCAGAGGAUGAUUGAAAAAAUAUUAACAAUCUAUUUAUGCGUUUAUAGUAAACCUUCAAUAAUAUUUGUACUUUCUAGCAUAUAGAAUACUUACUGGAUUUCUUACUCUUUCUUUCUACACCUCUAUCCAUACUAAAUAUAAAAAUACCAUUUUAUUCUUUUUUCUCCACCCCUUGAAUUUGAAAUAAUAAGCCCAUGGAUUAUGUAAUCUGGAUAUAUUCCGGAUUAGUCAAUUUCAUAUUUAGAAAAGACUUUCGGAUUAUGUAAUCCAGAAGCUAAUAAAACAUCUGAAAAAAAGGCUUCCGGAUUACAUAAUCCGGAAGCUAAUCUUAUGUAUAGAAAAGACUUUCGCAUUAUGUAUUCCGGAAGCUAAUCACAAAAGACUUCUGGAUUACAUAAUCCAAACGCUAAUUCUAAAUCUAGAAAAAAGACUUCCGGAUUAUGUAAUCCGGAAUAUUAAAAAAGAUAUUUUUGAAAUACGAAAAAUUUAUGGGGGUGACACAAGAAGGUAUGGAGGUGCAGGAAGAAACAGCCUGGAUUCCUUUUGUGAUUUUUCUUUUCUAAAGUACAAUUGAUAUUUUAAAUGUUUUUCUAUUUAAUUUGUCUUUCUUAAAUGACACAUAAAAUGUUCAGUGCACAAUUAACUACUCACCUUAGAUUUCGUUCUUCUUUUUCCACUUCCACACUAAAAUCAUUUUCACAUUUUUUUUACCUAUUUCACAAAAAUUUAAUUCAAAAAUGGAAAUUAAAGUUCAAGAACCCUACUUAUAUAUUAACAUUCAACAAUUUAAAAUAUUAAUAUUCAAAUUAAUCUUUCUUAAUGUUAUGAAAAAUUUAAAAUGUAGUUUAGUCAUUCUUGGAUGGAAAAAGAUGGUUUUAGAAGAAAAAAAUGCAUUUUAUUUGAAAGGUUAUCUAAACUCUAAACUCAUUGAUGAAUUAAUAAUAAUAAAUAAUAUGGAAUUCUAUUGGAAUAGCAUAUAAAUGUUUUGUUGUUGAAACUGAUAAUUGGGUGCGUUUCUGAUGAAAUUAAUUAAUGCAGUCUAGGGACAAUUAUCGCUCUAGUAUUUCAUUUUUUUAUUUUUAACGUUGAAAUUAUAAUUAUACAAUUCCGUUUUUAGAUAUUAAAAUGAUAGUUUUCAUUUACAGAUUAAAAUAUUACUUGUUUCUUUUAAGAUUUUUUUGGUAUUAUAAUUAUUUGUUAGCUGAAUUGUUUUGCGUUAACAUGUUGUUUUCUUGGGCUAUGAUGUAAGCAAUAUAAAUGUUAUUUUUAAUGUAAGCAAUAAAAAUUAUGAGUAUUCAAAGUCGUGUAAUUACUUAAAAGAAUCAAGUGAUUUUUAAAAGAACUCACACGAUCAGUUUUAAUUUUGACGAUAAAAUAUAUUAGUUAUAUAUAUUUAUUCAAAAUUUCAAUUAUACUAUGCAUUUAUGGUUUUAUGCUUUUAGAGGAAUCAGUAACUUAGAAAAGCUCCCAAAAACUAAUGAAAUCCCAUGAAUGAAGAAGGAGAACAAAUGGAAGUGAAAAAUCAGUAAGAUGAUAAUUAAUAAACACCCUCUCUUAAUAACAUAACAUAGGAGUCUUUAAACUUAUAUUCUUCAAACAAUUAUAAGCUGUCUUCAACUUUACUGUUAAACUACAAUUAUAAAGAAUUAACAAUCUCACACACCAACAACAUUUAUAAGUCAUCACUCACAUGCAACAAGGUGUGCCUCAAUGUGAAAAAACCAAGAUCAAUAAGAAAUGAGGUUCCACUUAACCAAGCUGAGAAUUGUCUGGUUUUCCAGCUCCAUGCACAAACCUAAUACAAUGAUAUGAUAUUCAAUACCAAGAGGUACCUUGUCGUAAAACUGAGAAUAUGAGGUUGCAUAGGAUGGAGAAAAGUAAGAAGAGGAUUUACCAAUUACCCUUUCAAAUGCAGCUCCUCAAGAUUUCAUAAUCCCUUCACUGCAAAUGCAACCCAAAUAUGUUAAAGAAGUUAAUGAAACCGAAAUAUGAAGAGUUUCAAAAUAAAAAUUUAACAUGUUGAAACUUGUAAUUUAGAAGUAUUGACUAUAAGGCAGUUUAGAUCCUGACCAAUGAAAGACUAAUAAGCAGAAGAGGAAGAGACUAGUUGACUGGCUAGCUUUCGGCCUUCCACUUCCUAUCUUCCCUUGUUUCUCUUGAAGACUGUGCAACAUUGCUUCCACUGGAUUCUUCAAUCUCAACAGCACCACCAUAUUCAUCAUCUUUCUUUUUCGUAUAAAGAGGGCAUAUGCCGCAUUCUUUUAUUGUGAUAACUGAUUUCAACUCUCUCACAACUGAUUCGUAAUCUGGCCACCCAAAGUCAUAAUCACACGGACUGAUCUCAAAAGUGAAGCUGCGAGCAUCACAUAGCCUGAGGCUCAUGCCGCUCGCCCUUAGGGACUCCAAGUUAAAUUUCCACACGAAUGUGUGAUCUUUAUCAACACAUCUCUCUUCACCAUUCCAUUUGAAAUAGCUGUUUAACACAUCAUUAUUUGGAAUGAUCUGUGUGCCAUCAUCAUCAGAUUCAAAUGUUAGGCUGUAACUAAAAGAACCAUAUCUACCAUUCAUAGCAUACGUAUCUAACACUCCAAAAACCACACUCAAAGCGAAACCAGUGAGCCUAUCAUCGCUGCAGAAACUUAAAUCUUCAUUUAUAGUCACUGAAUGUCCCUUCCCACGAAAAUUGAACCAACCAGGAACUGCACUCCCUGGAAAACAGAAGAACACACACCUAUAUGCAUCGUCGGUCAUCCUAAGCCUUGCAUCCUCCUCAAUGUUAGCACGACCACCUGAAUCCAGUUGUUGAGCAUUGGUGAAAUGAAAUUUAAAUACACCCUCUUCGGAAUUUGAGAGGUUUCGAACAAGAGAAUUUGGCAUCACUCUUCUAAUGGAUGGGCAAUCCAAUGCCACGAGUUGUUUCAGAAAUGGUGGAAUCUGUGGGAUGCAUUCAAGCUUUUUGCAGUCGCUUAAAUCAAGCGAUUUCAAACUUGAAAGAUGAGCAAUGCUCCCAGGAAGGUUCACGAUUCCGCUAUUACGCAGUGAAAGUUUCAUUAAUGACGUCAAACGACCAAUGUGUCUAGGGAUUUCUGUUAAUUUGGGGCACCCCGAACAAUCAAGUUUAGAGAGAAGCUUCAGAUUAACAAUGCAGUUUGGAAGUGAGUCGAGAUCAGUGCAUUUGUGGAGCUCCAGGGAUCGAAGAUUAACCAAAUUGCCAAAUGAGGAAGGCAAUUCUUUAACAGCCGUAGAUGUUAAGUUAAUGUGAGCAAAAGUAUGAGCCGGCUCCGUGAUCUCUGGGAAGGACCUCAGCCUUGAGCAACCACCUAAAUCAAACUUCCUCAAUUUCAAAUUGAAAAUGGUGCUUGGAAAAGUUUGAAGUGAAUUACAGUGGGUAAGGUCUAACUUGCAUAGUCUGGUGAGGGUUCCAAUGGAAGAUGGAAUAAUCUGAAGAUUGAAGCAACUGCGCAAACUCAGUUGUUGAAGCCCUACCAAACGGCACAAGGAUGAAGGUAGUGCCUGUAUGGCUGUGUCGUCUAAGAUGAGCACCGCUAGAUCUUCCAACGUGUCCUGAAUCUGGGGUAAAUAUUCCAAUUUUGAGCAACCACGGAGAGAAAGUUGCUUUAGGAAUUUCAUAUCAGAAAGGUCAAACGGAAAGAUUGUAAGGGAAGAACAGUCAGAGAGAUCUAAGUAACAGAGGUUCUUGAGACUUUGAAAGUUCAAGGGCACACCUCCUCUGAGAUUUGCCGACACUUCAAAUUGUAAGUAUAGAGUAUUAUUAGCCACUUCUUCAUUAUAUCUGUCAAAAGUAAUUGAGAAAAUUUCACUGGAACUUCGGAAAAUAUGAACACCGGAUGCACAUUGCGCUUCAACUAUCAUAUUUCCACGUUUAUGCCGCAGUUUCAUAUGAGGGAAUCUGGGUUCACUGGUUGAAAACAUAUUAAGCUUCCGACAACAGGAAAGAAUAAUCAAUCCUGGUAAUGUGGAUAAAAUGUUGUUGGGAAUAUUUACACUAUUCAGAUCAUAACAAUGAUCUAAACAUAAACAACUGAGCUUGCUGAGGAAUAUCGAAGAGUGAACUUCAAUCAACUUUGAACAAUAACUCAGCUUUAUUUCUUCAAUAUUUGGUGACGUAGAAAGGUCUGGUAUUCUAGUAAGGUUCGAAGAAUGACUCAGGUUGAGCCUUUUCAACUUGGGUAAAUUCUGCCACAAAAUGUAAAUGAAUCAGGUAACACAAAAACUAAAUUAAAGUUUUAGGCAAUUUUAUCUAUUUUUCUUCGGUAAACAAUAGAUGACAAUGUCGAAAUACUUUAUAUUAUGCAUGUAUCAACUGACAAAAUAAAACGAUGUUUUCUGAGAGUUAAAAUUAAACCUUAUUUAAAAUAAGUCCAUCUUUCCAUAUUUUAUAAUUUGUUGUAUAUUAUAUUGAAGUUUAUGUUAUAAUAAAAAAAAUGACUUAAUUAAUCAAAUAAUGUGGAGAAGGCACAAAGGAAUUGCAAAUGAAAACUUGUAUAUGUAUAAUACAGAAAACAUGCUUGUAUAAUUUAUUUUUAUCUUUGAAAGUUUAGAACACAAAGGAACAUAGAUAGCUUGAAAAACCUGAUCUCCUUCCCAGAGUUGUUCAAGAUGGUUGCGUGGCAUUUCGAGAGUCACUAGAUUUUGUGGGCAAAACUUUGGAGGCCAAAAUCUUUGAGGGAAAUCGUCCCAAUAUAGAAUCUUUAGAGUGUCCGGCAGACCUACAAGAGAUGAUUCAGGAGACACUUUUGAUUCCAAUCCCAACGUGUAGAGCCUAAGCAUCCUAAGAUUGUCCAUCUUUUCGAAACUUUGUGCAUGUACUACAACUUCUUUUACUUUCCACGUACCCCAGGUAUUUAGUAAUAUACACUGUAUUGCAUCUGACCCCUGAAAGUAAAUCAAUGUAAUUAGAAAAAAGCAUGAAAUGUUGCAUUUCAGAAUGCUUAAUGACAGAUCAGUAGUUUGCUAUUUUUCACAAAGUAACAACAGAAUAUACCUUGUUCUUUCUUAAGACCUCACAAAUUUCCUCAUCAUUAAACAAUCGGCUGCGUUUUCCAGGAUGCUGAGGACACUCUUUAUGAACAAUUUCUUUACCCAUUUCUUGUAUUAGAUCGUGCAUCACAAUUCUACCAUCAAUGACAGAUAUUAGGCCCCUAUCUUUGAGAAUAUCCAUUCCAAUCUUAGAAGAGAAACCAAAGUCAUCAAGUCUUUCUGCUACCUCAAUCUCCUGGCGUCCUCUAUAAAAGCAAGCUAUGUCAAGAAAUAUAUUCUUCUCCUCCUCCUCCAGCCAAUCAUAACUUAAUUUUAAUACAUUGAAAAUACCAAGAUGUUGGCCCUUUUUCAACUUUUGCAACUGACUCUCCCAUGCUUCUUUUGUUCUGCCAUAAAGCAAUGAUCCCAAAAUCUGGAGAGCUAACGGAAUCCCUUUUGCAUAUGUCAACACCUUUUUUGACAGUUCCCUGUAACCAAUUUCUUCUGAAGAUUUUUGUUUAAAAGCAUGUAAACUAAAAAGCUUCUGAGAAUCAUUAAAAUUCAACUCCUUAACUUCGUAGAUAUCAUCAGCUCCAGCAUUCCUAAGCACUUGUCUGUCUCUACUGGUGAUA